CCAAAACAUGUAACAAAAUCAAAUAAAGCCAAAUAUAAAAAUUUGUCUAAGCUCGAAUUCUGAACUCUCAGCCAAAAGGUUUGGGCUCUUGUUCCCAGUAGAGUCGCCAGAGUUGUCACACCUCCUUUUUUCUACCACCGGAAAGGUGUAAAGGAGUUUUUCCAAUUAAAGGACAAUCGAAACGGGAUUCAUUUAUAUUAAGAAAUUUAGAGUCUCCACCUGGGAGAUUUAUGGUGUCCCAAGUCAUCGGUUUCAAUCUCGAAUCGAGGAAAAGAUUGACUCUAUAUUACAGUCCGCGAACUAGAAAUCUAGGUAAGGAAUUUUGUUAACUCGGGAGAAGGUGUUAGGCAUUCCCAGAUUCGGUGGUUCUAGCACGGUUGCUCAACUGGUAUAUUCGGCUUAAUUAUAUGAUUUAAAAACAUUUUAGACCUAUGUUAAAUUUUAACUUUUAAUCAUUUUAAAGAGGAUUUAACGUCGUCUAAAAUAUGUCUUUGGAUCGGGCCACAUAAAAUGCAUCUGCAAUCCAGAACAUAUUUUAUUCAACAUUAUUGGAAUUUGGAUUUGGGUCACAUGAAAUGCACACCCAAGUUUAGGAAGGUAAUAUUAUUAAAAUACGCGCCUAAUGAAACUAUGCGUUUUAGCUUUGUGAGGGCCAUAAAAUUUUGCUAAAUAGCAUGCCUCGAAUUCUAAGGUUAAGUUAAUGCUAAUUAGAAUGAGGGCCACGCAAUUGUCAUUUUUGUUCGGCAUCGCGUUCUUCGACUAUUUAAAGAAGCUUAGUAAAAGAAAGGAAAACCUAAUAAUUUCCAAUGGAUUUUAUUGAAGUUCAAACUAAAGAAGGUAGUAAUUUCAAAGGUAAAGCUCAUUUCUCUAUUGUAUUUUAAUUGCUGGUGAGUCCAGUUAUUGUUUCAAUCCUGAGCCCAAGGGAGCCCAAUGUUAGGUUACUAACGUGAGGCCCAGGCAUAUUAAAAACUUCAAGUCCUUCCAAUUUUAAAACAAAUCCAAAUAUUGCACUUCAAAACCCAACUACUGGCCCAACUCAGUUCCCAAAUGAACUACUGAUUUAAACAGCAAAGGCUGCCUAGUUUUGGACUCAGCGUAAGCCUAGCAGCAUAAUAUAGUUGUCUCAUUUAAUAAUAACUAAGGCCAAACGUACUUGCCCAGUUGAUGAGACAGGUUAUUGAAACCGAAAUCCACAAAAACCCAAAUCAUAAGCCAAGCACCCAAAGAGAAAACGGGCUCACCCAAAGCCCAAAAGAACUAUCGUCACAAUACAACACUACACAUUAGAAUUGUUUGGACACACACUAUAGCCCAACUUUUGAUUCAACAUACACAAACAACUGCAACCAUAAUGCUUUAAAAUAUUUCAGAAAAAUUAAAACUAAAUUGAUUAUCCUUAAGCAUGAUCGAAAUAUGCUUUAAUGUCAAACUGUAUUAAUAGAAGAUAUAUAAUUCUAUUCAUUCACUAUCCUCUUGUUACUCAAAAUUCAACAUUAUUCCCAACCUUCCACAACUUUGCAUGGUUUCGGUGAUUUCCAGAACACCUGCUAACAUAGAUUCCGGUUGAAAAUUCAACGCCCUAACAUAUACUUGCUAUUUCAGUAAGUAUGAAUCAGCAGUAAUCCAUGCUAAAAAACAUACUAUAUUAAAUAUCAGCACCAUUCAUUCAUUAAUACACUGCCAAAGUGUUAAACAACCUAUACCAUUCUUUAACUAAAUAAAAAGAUAACUGAGUAAACAAAAUGUUUCAGUACAGACCCUUUUAACUUAAGCUAUACAAUGAUAAUUGAGAUCUACGUAAGGACAUGCUCUAACACAGAAUUCAGCAAGUUGAAGAUCGUGUUAACUAACAUGGUCAGUCCAAAUCUCAACUAAGCACAUGUCAAUUAGAAGGGGAAAAUACAGGAAAACAGAGGGGAAUACAACUUUAAACUAAUAAUAUAACAUUCAGACACCUAGAACUCCAGCUUUCAUUUCUCAAUCUCCAAUCAAAUAGCACAUUAUGUGAGUUUCAGGAAUGUGUACCUGGAACAACCAAAAUAAGUACAAAACUCAGCAAUUAAAUGGUAGAUUCAGCAGUAAUUAAUCAGCAAAGCAACCAGUAAACUCAGCUUCACAGAAGCAGUGAUGUGCAGCAACCCAGUUCAAUGAGCCCAGCAGAAUUUAAGAUGAUUUUUCAGACCAACUUCAAACCAUUUUAUGGUAAAAGGUGAAAUUUUUUUCUUCAGGAAUUUGAGAAGAAAUCAUAAUUACUCCAGAUCUAAUGAAACAGUAAAAUCUAUAUUUCUGUCUAUCAAGUAGAGUGUUCAACCCCUAAAAAUAAAAGGGAAAGGGUCCUUAUAUAGGUACACCUAGAGCAGCCCAGACCUGUCUAAAUAAUACCCCUUUUACCCCUAUUUUCGAUUAUUUUACCCCCUUUACCCCUCUAAAGCCUUCUUCCUAACAGAAAUGAUUCCCUUUCAACCUGAAAUCCUUAAAUUAACCUUUGCCCAAAUAAGUUAUUACAGCCCCUUCACCUUCCUUUAAGCCCCUGAAGUUUUCCUAUUAUGCAAUUAAGCCCCUAAGAGUUCCUACUAAUUAUCAAACUACGACAAAUAAAAAAAUUCGGAAUCAAAGAAACAAUGAAGAUCAAGCAAACAAAUAUUGAUUCACUUUAAACAUGUAACUAAAUAUGCAUCUAUUUAUCAAUGAACUUGAAAUCAAUAUGACACACACAUGAAUACUUGAAUCUAUUAUGAAUUCAGAAUUCCUAACAAGAAACUAAUAUGCAUAAUUUGGAUUAACUGGACACAACUCUAAUAAACCCUAAAUACUAACAUGUCGCCAUUUGAAUUUUCCUGGUGAACAAAUAACUAUGCAGAAUCAUCCUAUGAACUACCAUAAAUAAAAAUAAAAAAUGCUAAUGACUAAACAUACGGCCAGAUCAACAAUAUCAUGCAGAAAAAAAAACCAAACAAGGAAAGAAAAAAGAAAAUUACUUGUACUAUCCCUUUCAAUACUAGAAUUUCUCACCCAAUCCACCAAGCAAAAGAAGGAACUCGACCUACUGUUAAUCGUCUGUUCUUAAUAAGAAUUGUCGAUUAACGAAUGUUUUGAGUUCACUCAAACAUCACAUGACCCAAAAGGACGCAAAGGAAAAAUAGGAAUUAGGGCCCACAUUUCAAAUUCGAGAUUUGAACCAUUUGGGGGUGUUUUUGAGGAAAUUGGUGAUAGAAGUGGGAAAAGGAAUUGAAUGAGGUCCUAGGGUGUGAAUUUGGGGCAGUUUGGUGGUGUCACCACCGGAGAAAAUGUUGCGGCGCUAGGGUUCAUGAUUUCAAACGAAAAUACAAGGAGCUUGAGUGUUUUGAGGGAAGCUGGGUAGGGAUUUGAGAUGAGUAGGAAAAGGGGAAACUGUGGUGUUAAUUUCUCGGUGAUUAACAGCUAGCCGCAGCCGUAGACGAUUUUCGGUGGGCAGCAAGUGGUAGCUCAAGGGAGGGUGAGAGAUGAUUUGUUGGGGGGUUUCUAGCAGAGUGGGGUAGGGCGUUAGGACAGUUAUAUAUUAGGGACACCCCACUUCUGAGCCGUUAGAUGGAUUAACCUCGAUGACUUAGAUCUAUCCUAAGAGAAACGGGGUUAUUUGGUCGAUGGUGAGGAUGGACCGGGUUAGGGGUGGAUUUGGGCUGGACUUACCGGGUUUAGGGGUGUAUUUUAAUUUGGGCUAAACCAAAUUGGUCCAAAAUCAGUCUUUCUUCUAAUUCCUUUCUUUUUCUUUUCAAUUAUUGUUUUUUUUCUUUUUCCAAAUUAAUUUACAUCCUAAAUUAACUUAACUAAAUUAAUUUCCCAAAUAAAACUAAUUACUCAUCAUAGUAUUUGAAAAAAUUAAUUAAUUCCCAAAUUAAAAGAAACUACAAAAUUUAAAGUUAAAAAUGCAAAGUGAGUUAUUUUUGUGAUUUUCAUUUUAAAAAAUAACCUAAUUACUAAUUAAUUCUUAAUAUGCACAACUAACUCCCAAAUGCUCAUGUGACUCAUUAUUUGUAUUAUUUCCUAAUUAAAAUGCACAGACAAAAAUGCACACAAUUAACAAAAAAUGCCACAAAAAUCUACAAAAUUGCAAACAAUGAAAGAAAUUAUUUUGCUUUGAAUUUAUAGGAGUAUUUUAUAUAGGAAAAAAAUCACGUGCUCAUAAAGGCCGAAUUUCUACCUAUAGCUUGAGCACCGAGGUACUGAUUGUGUAAGCACGUGUUUUUGAACUUAUAUGUUCGGUAGUCCCUAUUAGUAGAAGUGAUGGAUGAAUGGCUAUGCGAUGAGUAUGUUAUGACUGCGAGAUGAAUUCAUUUGAUUUGGAAGCGACCAAAAGGGUUUGCUGGAGGAUGGAAGAACUAGUUGGUACUUGAUGUUUAUCUUGAUUUGAGAUAAAGCCCCGAGCUAUGGGCGUGUAAUGAAUCUUUUAAUGCUUCCUAGUUGGGAGUGAAGUAAAUUUCAUGUGGCGGCAUGAGUUCAGACUCAGGCAGAGUAAGUAACUGCCUAAUGUUUAUGACGGCGGAAGGUAUACAAAAAUGUUAGUUGGAGGAAAAGCAAGUGGGCUAUCUCAUGCGGAGUAUUAUGAGGUUGUGUAAUCCUUAUGUUGUCUAUUAGGAGAUCUCAUUUACAAGUGUAAUAUAUGUGUUGAAAUUUAAAUUUGGGUCACUUAAGAGAGUGGGUUCAACUAUCACGAGAGUGAAUGCAAGAUUUGCAUAAGAUUCUGAAGUACCCAAUGGUCUGUGAUUCACGAGCUUAUGUGCUACGUCAGUUCCUAUUUGAGGCGUACUGGUGAAUCAAUUAUGGCUUAUGGAUAUUGAGACCGAGGAUGGCUCGAGUAGAGGAAAAUAUUGGCAAAGGUUAUAUUAUGCUUCAUAUGUGUAUAAGAAUCACGGAAUUUGUUAAGUUGUUGUUGGUAAAGGAUGAUCAGUGCAUAGGGCAAAAAGUUCAGUGGUUGCUCUAGGAUGAGGUAACACUUUGCAGUGUUAAAGUGCAAUUGAGGCACGGGUAGUUCUAUUUGUUUGAUCAGGAUAAUUGCAGUUUGAGUAUAGUGAAUGACUCUUGAGAAUGGUUCUCAUGCGUUCGAAUAAAUGGGAUAGCUUGGUACUAGGCCGAGUUGGUAGGGUAAGGAUAGGAUUGGUUCUUUUGAUUCUUACGAGGUAAUGGGUUUCUACAGGUGUUUCACGGAAAUUCUUUUGGAUUUUAGUGACAUGCGUAGAUUUUGAUUCUUACGAGGUGAUGGGUUUCUACAGGUGUUUCACGGAAAUUCUUUUGGAUUUUAGUGACAUGCGUAGCUUGGUUGAUUUAAAAGGAUUCAGUCCUAACGAUUUAGAUUUGCGCAAAUGGAAUUCGAAGAGUUCAAGAUGGUUUCCUCCACGGAUAGCGAGGUAUAUUUUUCCUUUUGGCGUGAGGAGCAUGGAUGAGUAGUGGUUCUCUUCUAGACGGGAUCAAUGGAGAGUUCUUGGUUAGUUGGGUAAAUAGUUGUUUGUGGCUCAGAAGGGAUAUGAAGUUCUUAUAUUAUCCUAGGAUGGUAUGGUAUAUGCGGUAUGUUGUGGAGGAUUGAGAAUUUGCAUGUGUAAGGCUACAGUUAAGUUUUGAAAUGAAGGUCAUAAAAUUCAUAGGCAGCACUGGCAAUUUCAGAUGACUAAGAAAAUGGUAUCACUGAUUGGUGUGGCUUGAUGAGGGUAUACAUUUCAGAUAGCACGAUGUGUUUGAGUUAUGGAUGCUUUAUUGGUCUUGCGACACUAUCUCGUGUGAUUGAUUGAUGGUAUUCGAGUUGGCUUAGUGGCAUAGUACAAUUAUAGGUGUACCUCUCAUGGGAUGAUUGAGAAUUAGAGGUGUGUUGUAUAUUUGAGAGGCAAAAUUGGGAUUACAUAUGGUAACUCAUAUGCUUUAUGGAUUGGUUUCCUUAAAGUUCUCAUAAACAGGUUAGCUCGUGGUUGUGGACGGUAAAGAUGUGGGUAAGUAAUCAGAUGAUAUCAUGUGCUACGGUUCAGUCAUUGUGAACCCUCUAAGGGUUAUUUAUUUGUUGUGUGUGACUAGAGUUGAUGUGUGGUUCAUUUGUAAACCUAUAUGGAUGUGUUUUUUGCAUUGAGACGACUUUGUUGACUUCGAGUUGCUAUUGGUGAGGUAUGUGUUGAUUCGGUUGUUAUUGAGCUAUUAGUAAUAAGGGGAAUCUAUGAGUUAUAUUUCCGGAUUGCGAGACGUUAGGAUUUGUAGGUUAUAGGCACAUAUGGUGCGGUGUUAUUGGAGCCUCCCAGUGGAAUUCGAGUGGGACGAGUACUGGGCAUUGAUCAGUGGAUGGUGUGUUUUUUAUGUCCUUUCGAGUUGUGUGGUGCUAUUUAAUUUCUUCGCGGUGGUUAUGAUGAUCGCUUCGGUUUUAGACAUCAUAUUGCGUACGGUUGUCGAUUUUAAGUGUAGUAUUUGGAUGAGGUCGCGCAUUGGAGUGAAGCUAUAUGGAGUUAUGACCAUGCGAGUUAGAUUCAGGUGUCAUGCUUCUAUGAUGUUUGACGGAUUCUUAGUAUUGUGUUGUCGUGGUACCUGUGAGCUUGCGGUAUAGCUCUUUCAUUUGAGUAAUUUUCAUGAUUUAGGUAUGUUCUGAAUGUUGCUUAUCGGUAUGCGGAUUGCACAAGUUGUGGCUUUAGUCUGUAUCGAUGUGUCAUAUCCCAGAGUAGUUAUGUUGGAUUAGAUGAGAACUUUGGAAUCUUUAAUGAAUGCAAAUGGAUUCUAUUUCAGCAUGUUGGAAGCAUAAUAUCGAGGUUCGGCUCAGGAAUUUUCUAUAGUCGUUGCUAAAGGAGAAGUGGCUUCAUGAAUGGUGUAUCUAGGAAACGGCUAUGGCUUACUAUGUGUUUUAUUUAUCGUUGGCAUUAUAUAAAAGUGUUGUAAUUAGAUCUUAGUUGAUUAGAGGUUUCUAUCGGUAUUCGGUUAUUGUGUGCAGUUAUUGUGAUUAGAAGUUAUCGCUGCAAGCAUCGAGUUAUGUGGUAUAUCAUGUAGUUGCACCGAAGUUGUGGAUAUGGGUCAUUACAGCUUGUUCGGGCUUACUCAUAUUAUAUAUGUGAGAUUUUGAUCUUGUGGAUGAUUUCAGAAGUGGCAAUAUGGUUCUAAGGUUCAUGGGCUAGGUUGGAGUGUAAAAUUUCAGUUACAUUGUAUUAUCGGAACUAUAUGAGAUAGGGUGACAUGGUAUCACCCUUGGGUUUAUGCAUGGUAAGGUCAUUCAACGAUUGGUUCGCUUCGGGAACAACUCUGGGCACGUUCGAGGACGAACGUAUGUUAAAGUGGGGGAGGAUGUAACGAUCCGACCAAUUGUUUUGAGCGUUUACACUUUGCUCGCCAGUUCUCGGGCAUGGCUUGUCUCGUGUGAUAUAUUACGACUUAAGUUAAUCAUUGGUUUAGGUUUUCAGGAUAAUCGGAAUGAAUUUGGAAGAACAGUUCUCACUUUGAUGCUUGAAAUAUGAAAGGUUUGACCAAUAUUUGACUUGUUUGUAUAUGAUCUCGGAUCAGACUUUUUAUGAUUUGGUUAGUUCCGUUAGGUGAUUUGGGACUUAAGAGUGUGAUCGGAAUGCAUUUUGGAAGUCUGUGGAUUGUUUAGGCUUGAAUUGGCGAAAUUGAGAUAUUGGUAUUUUUCGGUUGAUAGGUGAGAUUUUGAUAUAUGGGUCGAAAUGAAAUUCCAAAAGUUUUAGUAGCUCCGUUGUGUCAUUUGUGACAUGUGUGUAAAAUUUCAGGUCAUUCGGACGUGGUUUGGUUUGGUUAUUGAUCAAAAGGCAAUUUGGAAGUUCUUGAAAUUCUUAAGCUUGAAUCCGAUGUGAUUUUGGUUUUUUGUUUUUGUUUUGAGCGAUCCGAAGGUUGAAACAAGUUUGAAUGAGGUUAUGGGAUAUGUUGGCAUGUUUGUUUGAGGUCUCGAGGGCUUCGGGUGAGUGUCGUAUGGUUGAAGAAAUCAAUUUUGGACUUUGGACUUGGCAGUUUUUGCUGGUUUUGUGUUGCAGACAAUUUGUUUUACGCGAUUUUCGCGAGGAUGAGAACGCAAACACGAAGGUGGAGGAUUCAUGUGCACUGCGGACUCGAUACUGGGGUCGCGUUCACGGAGAGGAUUGAGGUCGUUGGGCACCCUAGGCCUAUGGGUUAUGCAUUCGCGAGAGUUGGGCCACGUUCGCAAAAGCUUGGUAAGAUGAAGCAUCGCAUUCGCGUGGAAAUUGUCCGUGUUCGCGAAGGGAAAAAUGGAGAGGCGGUGAAUUUGGUCUAUGCGAACGCGAGAGGCCGGUCGCGUUCGCGAAGAAGGUAAUUUUACCUGGAGCAAAAUGUUUUAAAAGUGAGUUUCGUGAUUUUUAGUCUAUUUUCUCCAUUGUUGAGCAAUUAUUGGAGCUUUUGAGAAGGACUAAAGAGGGAAUCGUAGGGAAACACCUGGAGGUAAGAUUUUUGAACUCUAUUCUCGAUCAUAUGCUGAUUCAUGCUUGUUUAAUCAUGGAAUAUGUGGAAAUUAAAGCCUCAAAUUGGGGAAUUAGGGCUUGAAUUUGGACUGUAAAUUGAGAAUUUGAGGGGGAAUUGAGGUCCGAUUUUCAUGUUCUUGGUAUAUAUUGACUCGUGAGAGGGUGAGGAUCCUAUUGAUGUUAAUUUCGUCGGAUUCCAAUGGUCUGUGUUUCACGAGCUUAUGUGCUAUGUUAGUUCCUAUUUGAGGCGUACUGGUGAAUCAGUUAUGGCUUAUGGAUAUUGAGACCGAGGAUGGCUCGAGUAGAGGAAAAUUUUGGCAAAGGUUAUAUUAUGCUUCAUAGGUGUAUAAGAAUCACGGAAUAUCUUGAGUUGUUGUUGGUAAAGGAUGACCGGUGCAUAGGGCAUAAAGUUCAGUGGUUGCUCUUGGAUGAGGUUACACUUUGUGGUGUUGGAGUGCUAUUGAGGCACGGGUAGUUCUAUUUGUUUGAUCAGGCUAAUUGCAGUUUGAGUAUAGUGAAUGACUCUUGAGAAUGGUUCUCAUGCGUUCGAAUAAAUGGGAUAGCUUGGUACUAGGCCGAGUUGGUAGGGUAAGGAUAGGAUUGGUUCUUUUGAUUCUUACGAGGUAAUGGGUUUCUACAGGUGAAAUACAUGUGUUUCAAGGUAAUUCUUUUGGAUUUUAGUGACAUGCGUAGCUUGGUUGAGUUAAAAGGAUUCAGUCCUAACGAAUUAGAUUUGCGCAAAUGGAAUUCGAAGAGUUCUAGAUGGUUUCCUCCACAAUUAGCGAUGUAUAUUUUUCCUAUUGGCGUGAGGAGCAUGGAUGAGUAGUGGUUCUCUUCUAGACGGGAGCAAUGGAGAGUUCUUGGUUAGUUGGGUAAAUAGUUGUUUGUGGCUCAGAAGGGAUAUGAACUUCUCAUGUUAUCCUAGGAUUGUAUGGUAUAUGUGGUAUGUCAUGGAGGAUUGAGAAUUCGCGUGUGUAAGGCUAUAGUUCAGUUUUGAAAUGAAGGUCAUAAAAUUCUUAGGCAGCAUUGGCAGUUUCAGAUGAUUAAGGAAAUGGUAUCACUGAUUGGUGUUGCUUGAUGAGGAUGUACAUUUCAGAUAGGGCGACGUGUUUGAGUUAUGGAUUCUUUAUUGGUCUUGUAACACAAUAUUGUCUAAUCGAUUAAUGGUAUUUGAGUUGGCUUGGUGGCACAGAAGAAUUAUAGGUGUACCUCUCAUGGGAUGAUUGAGUAUUAGAGUUCUGUUUUAUAUUCGAGCGGCAAAAUUAGGAUCAGAUAUGGUAAUUCGUAUGCUUUAUGGAUUGGGAUAUUGAGAGUUCUCAUAAACAGGUUAGCUCGUGGUUGUGGACGGUAAAGAUUUGGGUAAGUAUUCAGAUGAUAGCAUGUGCUAUGAUUCAGUCAUUGUGAACAUUCGAAGGGUUAUUUAUAUGUUGUGUGUGACUAGAGUUGAUGUGUGGUUCAUUGGUAGACCUAAGUGGAUCCGUAUUUUGCAUUGGGACGGCUUUGUUGACUUCGAGUUGCUAUUGGUGAGGGAUGUGUUGAUUUAGUUAAUAUUGAGCAAUUAGUAAUCAGGCAGAACUAUGAGUUAUCUUUCCGGAUUGCGAGACAUUAGGAUUUUGUUUGUUAUAGGCACAUAUGGUGCGGAGUUAUUGGAACCUUCCUGUGGAAUUCGAGCGGGACGAGUACUGGGUAUUGCUUGGUGGAUGGUGUAUCGAUUAUGUCCGUUCGAGUUGUCUGGUGUUAUGUAAUUUCUUCGCUGUGGUUAUGAUGAUCGCUUCAAUUUUAGACAUUAUAUUGUGUAUGGUUGUUGAUUUUGAGUGUAGUGACUUAAGGUGUUUCAUGUGAACUAGCAUUUGGAUGAGGUCACGCAUUUGAGCGAAACAAUGUGGAGGUAUGACCCUGCAGGUUUGAUUCCAGUAUCCUAUUUCUAUGAUGUGUGACGAAUUCUCAGUAAUACGUUGUGGUGGUACUGGUGAGGUUGCAGUACAGCUCUUUCAUUUGAGUCAUUUUCAUGACUUAUGUAUGUACGGAUUGUUGCUUAUUGGUGUGUGGAUUACAGAAGUCGUGGCAUUAGUCUGUAUCGAUGUGUCAUGUCACUAGAGUAGUUGUGUUGAUUAGAUGAGAUCGUUGGGAUCUUCAAUGAAUACAAAUGGAUUUGAUUUCAGCAUGUUGGAAAGAUAAUAUCGAGGUUUGACUUAGGAUUUUCUAUGGUCCUUGCCAAAGGCGAAGUGGCUUCAUGAAUGGUUGAACUGGGAAACGGCUAUGGCUUACUGCAUGUUUUAUUUAUCAUUGGCAGUAUGUGAAAGUAUUUGAAUUAGUUUUAGUUAAUAAGACGUUUAUAUCGGUGUUUAGUUAUUGUGUGUAGCUGCUGUGGUUAUAAGUUAUCGCUGCAAGCGUCGAGUUAUGUGGUAUAUCAUGUAAUUGCACCCAUUUUGCGAUUAUAGGUUAUUAUAGCUUGUUUGUGCUUAUACAGAGCAUAGAUAUGAGAUUUUGAUCUUGUGGAUGAUUUAUGAAGUGGAAAUGUGGUUCUAUGGUUCAUGGGCUAGGUUGGACUGUGAAAUUUCAAUUACAUUGUAUUAUCGAACUAUAUGAGAUAGAGUGACGUGGGAUUACCCCUGGGUAUAUUCAAGGUAAGGUCAUUCAAUGAUUGGUUGGCUUUUGGAACAACUCUGGGAACGUUUGAGGAGGAAUGUAUUUUAAGUGGGGGAGGAUGUAACGACCUGACCGGUCGUUUUGAGCUUUUGCACUUUGCUCGCCAGUUCUCGGGCAUGGCUUAUCCUGUGUGAUGUAUUAUAACUUACGUGAAUCGUUGGUUUUACCUUUCAGGAUACUCGGAACGAUAUUGGAAGAACAGUUCUCAAUUUGAAGCUUGAAAUUAAAAAGGUUUGACCAAGAUUUGACUUAUAUGUAUAUGAUCUCGGGUCGGAAUUUUUAUGAUUUGGCUAGUUCCUUUGGGGUAUUUGGGACUUAGGAGCGUGAUCGGAAUGCAUUUUGGAAGUUCGUGGAAGGUUUAGGCUUGAAUUGACGAAAUUGUGAUUUUGGCGUUUUCCGAGUUGAUAGGUGAGAUUUUGAUAUAGGGGCCAGAAUGGAAUUCCAAAAGUUGUAGUAGCUCUGUUGUGUCAUUAGUGAUGUGUGUGUAAAACUUUGGGUCAUUCAGACAUGGUUUGAUUGGGUUUUUGAUCAAAAGUGCAAUUUGAAAGUUCUUGAAAUUCAUAGGCUUGAAUCCGAUGUGAUUUUGGUGUUUUGAUGUUGUAUUCAACGUUUCAAAGGUUGGAACAAGUUUGAAUGAGGUUAUGGGAUAUGUUGUCAUGUUUGGUUGUGGUCUCGAGGGCCUCGAUGAGUUUCGGAUGGUUAAACGGAUCAAUUUUAAACUUUGGACUUGGCAGUUUUUGCUCGUUUUGCGUUGUAGACAAUUUGUUCUUCAUAUUCGCGGUUAGGGUCUCGUGUUCGCGAAGGGAAUUUUGUGUGAUGAUAUUUUGUUCUACACAUUCGGGAAGAUGAGAACGCGAAUGCGAAGGUGGAGGAUUCACGUACAUUGCGGACGCGAGACAGCGGUCGCGUUCACAUAGAGGAUUGAGGUCGUUGGGCACCCCAAGCCCAUGGGCUAUGCAUUCGCGAGAGUCAGACCGCAUUUGCGAAAUCCUGGUAAGCCGAAGCAUAAAUUGUUCGCGUUCGCGAAGAUAAAAAUGGAGAGGCGGUGAAUUUGGUCUACGCGAAUGCGAGAAGCCGGUCGCGUUCGCGAAAAAGAUAAUUUUACCUGGGGCAGAAUGUUUAAAAUUGAGUUUCGCGAUUUUAGUCUAUUUUCUACAUUGUUGAGCAAUAUUUGGAGCUUUUGAUAAGGGCUGAAAAGGAAAUCAAAGGGAAACACUUGGAGGUAAGAUUUUUUAACUCUAUACUUGAUCAUUUGCUGAUUCUUGCUUGUUUAAUCAUGGAAUAUGAGGAAAUUAAAAUCUAAAAUUGGGGAAUUAGGGCUUGGAUUUGGAGAGUGUACAUUGGGAAUUUGAGGGGGCAAUUGAGGUCCGAUUGUGAUGUUCUUGGAAUGUAUAUAUUCGUGAGAGGGUGAGGAUCCCAUUGAUGUUAAUUACGACGGAUUUCGAGACGUGGGCACCGGGGGGCAGAUUUGAGCACUUUUGGGAAUUUUGAUGUGAAUUUAAUAUUUUCGAGUUGGCUUCAUUCCCUUAGAAUAUUCUAAUGGUUAUGUACUGAUUAUGGCCAGAUUUUGAGCAUACAAAGGUCGAUUUGUGAGGGCAAAGGCAUCACGAGUUAGAGUUUGGACGCACACGCUAGAUGAUGAGAAUGGAGUCGUGCACCGUUGGGGAUUGUGACUUGGUCCGUCUUGUACAGUUGUUAAGUCGCGUAUCUGAUUUGAAAUCUUACGAUAUUCCAUACUUUAGAGAUUGAUAUUAUAUUUUGGAUUGCAUGCCAUGUUUGGGGCCUUGUGCCGACAUGUUGAGACCCUUAGGGGCCUUUUCACUAUUUUCCCUCACUCUAUUUGUUUUGAAAGCACAUCCUUAGUCCCUGUUUACCUGUUAUUGUUUAAAAUCUGGCUUUUAUCACUUAUCUUUUUAAAAUGUGAAAACUGUUUGAGCUGUGUUCCGUGAUUUACUAAUGGCCCGAGUGAUUAUGAGGUUGACGACAGAGAGAGACCGAGGGUCUGAUUGUGAGGUUUAUAACUGAGAUAGAUCGAGAGUCUGAUUGUGAGGUUGAUAAGUGAGAUAGAUCGAGAGUCUGAUUGUGAGAUAAAUGACUGAGAAUGGCCAAGGGCCGGGUUGUGAGAAUUAUAUAUUUAUGAAUCAGGCAGCACGUUGCAACAAUCAAUAUAUAUANNNNNNNNNNNNNNNNNNNNNNNNNNNNNNNNNNNNNNNNNNNNNNNNNNNNNNNNNNNNNNNNNNNNNNNNNNNNNNNNNNNNNNNNNNNNNNNNNNNNNNNNNNNNNNNNNNNNNNNNNNNNNNNNNNNNNNNNNNNNNNNNNNNNNNNNNNNNNNNNNNNNNNNNNNNNNNNNNNNNNNNNNNNNNNNNNNNNNNNNNNNNNNNNNNNNNNNNNNNNNNNNNNNNNNNNNNNNNNNNNNNNNNNNNNNNNNNNNNNNNNNNNNNNNNNNNNNNNNNNNNNNNNNNNNNNNNNNNNNNNNNNNNNNNNNNNNNNNNNNNNNNNNNNNNNNNNNNNNNNNNNNNNNNNNNNNNNNNNNNNNNNNNNNNNNNNNNNNNNNNNNNNNNNNNNNNNNNNNNNNNNNNNNNNNNNNNNNNNNNNNNNNNNNNNNNNNNNNNNNNNNNNNNNNNNNNNNNNNNNNNNNNNNNNNNNNNNNNNNNNNNNNNNNNNNNNNNNNNNNNNNNNNNNNNNNNNNNNNNNNNNNNNNNNNNNNNNNNNNNNNNNNNNNNNNNNNNNNNNNNNNNNNNNNNNNNNNNNNNNNNNNNNNNNNNNNNNNNNNNNNNNAUAUAUAUAUAUAUAUAUAUAUAUAUAUAUAUAUUUAUUUAUUUAUUUAUUUAUGAAUCAGGCUGCAUGCCGCAACGAUAUGUUGGAUCGGCAUGUACACCGCAACGAUAUAGCGGUUGGCCUGUAGGAGCCCCUCGAAAGUCUGCACACCCCUAGUGAGUGCCUUCGACGAGAUAAAAGGAUCGGGUUUCACGGUUCAGCGAUAUCUGGAUCAGGUUGUGCGCCGCAGCGAUUACUAUAUGGUUCUGAUUGACUGUGACUGCUAAGAGUGAGCGCUGAUUGAUGAGAGUUGAGUCUCGAGUGACUGAGAGACUUUCCCCAGGGGCUGUAUACAUAUAUGAGUGAUGCUUUGCCUAAGGGGAUUUUUUUUCUAAAGUUGAUGUUACCACUCAUCUCUAUACUUAGCCUCUAUUGGAAAUGUUGAACAAAUGCUUUUAAACAACUUUCAUGUAGGCUGGAGUUUUACGAGAUGUUCAGAAUUUAAUUACUGAUUUGGCUUUGUUAUUUCCACUAAGAUUAUUUUUAUGUUAUACGGUGUUUAUGAUUCCACUUUUGCCCUAGGGGUUAUAUACAAACUAUGUUUUUCCCGAGGGCCUAUUAUGAUUUUUAUCUCUUUAAUAAUAAAUUGUAUUGAACCUCUAUUAAAAUUGAUGGCAGGCAUCUUCAAAUGAUUUUUACCAAAAAACUAGAUUUUAAAUGAGAUAAUUAACUCGUAUUCUGAUUUGAAAGUGUGUUGCGUUUACUGAGUUUAUCAUAAUAUGGAUUAAUCGUUUCCUACUGCUCAGUUUUUAUUUACUCUUAUUACUUACUGGGUUAGCCGAGGGUCUUUCGGAAACACCCACUCUUCCCUUUCGGGGUAGGGAUAAGGUCUGCGUACCUAUUAUCCUCCCCAGACCCCACUCUGUGGGAUUUUACCGGGUAGUAGUUGUUGUUGUCUUUACUUGCUGGGUUAGAGUACUCACAUUACUCCCUGCACCCCGUGUGGAGAUUCAGGUAUUUGGAACCCGAUAGCAUGUGUUUAUUGCUCAGAUGCGGACUCAUCAGAGUUAGAAAGGUGGCUGCAUGAUGUUCGCAGCACUGCUUCCUUCCUCUCAUUUUUUUAUUACUGUAUUUUGUACAUUUUUAGACUCUUGUUGUACUCGGACCUUGGUAGAUGCUCAUGACUAGUGACACCCCGAUGUGUCGGGAUUGAGUAAUUAUUUCACACUUUUAUUUUAAGUUUCAUUAUGAAAUUAUUGGUUUAUAAAUGGUCUAAAAAUAACUCUUUAUGAUUAAAGGGUUAAUAUGAGUGUUGCGUCGGCUAGCCUUGUCUUCACGAGAGGCGCCAUCACGACCGAGUUGUUUUUUUUAAUCCCUCCCAAAUUAUGAGGAUCUAUAGUGCUUCCACACUUCCCCUCCAUGGUGAUUCAAACCCAAGACCUAACGGUCGUAGGUGAAGGUGCUUUUACCAACUGAGCGAGCCUCACUUCCCCUCCAUGGUGACUCGAACCCAAGCUGGUUUGGGGUCGUGACAAUGUGAAAAAUAUAUUUAUAUAUUAAGUUUAAAAAUAUUAAUUUUCUUGAGCCUUGGAAUUAUAAAAAUGGUUACUAGACAACAAGUAGUUAAAUCAAAAUUCUAAUUUCCAAAUAUAUUAUGUUAUUCCUACUAAAACUAAAUUAUUUCCAGCACAUUCUAGCAAUUAUGAGCUGCAAACUACAAUGUAUUGAAUCUUUUUAAAGGUAACCGGAUGCAUGGGUUAGGACAAGGAGCGUCCGGAGUCUCUUAAGAAAGGACAAAGACUAAUUAAUAUCAUGUCUACACCGAUCGGAUUUAAAAAAGUCUUUCGCCCCUUAUCUUCUCAUCUAUCUUCUUUAUCUUCUGAUCGGAAUUUGAAGGUUUCAGCAGGUUCGUAUGAUGACUUUGAACUUGGGCAUAUGUGCGGACUGGGUUUUGGAAGAUCCGGGAACGUUUUGGCAUCUAUUGUGGAAGUUAGCAUUUGUGGGAAAAUCUCAUAAGUUGGAUUAAAGUGCAUUCAAAGGUUAUCAAUGUCUGUUCGAGAUUUCAAGUGUGGGAACAGCUCUGUAUGGUGAUUCUGGCAUUGGGAGCGCGAUCGGAAGUGAAUUCGGAGGAUCAUGGGUUAUUUUGGAUUCAUUUGGCUAAAGAUAGAAAUUUGAAGGUUUUUAAGAAGUUUGACCAUAAGUGGACUUUUUUAUAUAGGGGUCAGAAUCAGAUUCUGAAAGUUGGAGUAGAUCUGUAAUGUCGAAUAUGUCUUGUGUGCAAAAUUUGAAGUUAAUCGGGCGUGAUUUGAAAGCUUUAAACAUCUAAAGUAGAAGUUUGAAAUUCUAAAGUUCAUAAAGCUUUGAUUCGAGGUUGAUUCAUGGAUUUAGCGUUGUUUGAUAUAAUUUGAGGCCUCAAGCAAGUAUGUAAUGUGUUUUGGACAGGUUGGUAUGAUUGGUUGGGGUCCCGAGGACCUCGGGUGGAUCUCGGGUGAUUAUCGGAUCGAAUGUGGAAUUUGGAAGGUGAAGUUGUUGGUUGCUGGUGUAACUGCACCUACGAAACUAGGGCCGCAGGUGCUGAGCUGCAGAAGCAUCCUUCGUGCCGCAGAAGUAGAAAUGGAUGGCUAGGCUGGGACUGUAGAUACGGUCAUUUUUCCACAGAUGCGGGACUGCAUCUACGGAAGGAGAAGCGCAGAUCUGGAAGUUGAAGGCUUGGGGGAAGACCGCAGAAGCGGAAAUUAGUCCAUACCUGCGGGACGGCAGGUGCGAAAGAACUGGAGGCAGUAAGAGUUUUAAAAAUCGGGUUUUAGCCAUUUUCUCUCAUUUUUCUCUUGGCUUGGCCGAUUCUUAGAGGAUUUCUAGGGGUCUUUUCACCAUCAACAUUAAGAUAAACUUUCCCCACCUAUCUUGAGUUAAAUAUAUUGAUUAAGUAUGGAUUUGAGCAGGAAAUUUUAUAGAAACUUGGGGUUUAAGGAAAAAACUAGAAAAUUGAUAUUCUUGGAAUUUAACCACGAUUUUGGGUAUGAAUUUGAGAGUAAAUUAUAUAUUUAAGUUUGUGAAGUUAUGUGUAAAGUUUAUUUUCAAAAGUUUUGAAAUCGGGGAAUGUGGGCCCGAGGAAAAUUUUGUCAACUUUUUGAUCGGGGUUAGGAAUUGUUAUAAAUUGGAUUGUAAAAGGAAAUGGGCAUAUAUUAAUGGAUUUACAUAAUUAUUGGCUAGCUUUGUAGCAUUUAGCAUCGAUUCGAGUCUUUGAAAGGGCGUGGAAUGCCGGUUAGGAAUCUUCGGAGCGAGGUGAGUCUUCUUUCUAAACUUGUAAGAAAGAAUUGUCAAUAUAGGUGAAUUAAUUGGAUUUAUGCUCCUAUCUGUGGGGGCUACGUACGCACGAGGUGACGAGAGUCCUUGCGUAGCUACUAUUAUGCUUUAAGUCCGGGUAGUCUAGGACCCAAAAGCAUCCUAUACUUGGAAUAAUUGUAAUCUUAUCGACAGUUUUAAUUGCUUAAAUCACAUCGAAUUAGUAAAUAAAUUUCAAAAAAGAUUAGACUUCAUUAAUCUGAAUUGUUAAAAGAGAAUCAGAUUUUUCUUGGAUAAUUUUUUCUUGAUGAAUUCGAUUGACUAAUUGUUGUGUUUAUUUAUAUUUGACUGUGUCGCAUGUAUGAUUCACGAGCGGGGUAAUAGAUGCAUUUAUGGUUCACGCCAUUCGACCCUCUAGCAGUGCACAGUUUAAAUAUUGUUUGAUCGACCGUACAACCUCUGCACGAUUUGUGCAUUCGUGUAUUGCUUUCCUUGAAACUUAUUGAAGUUGGUAAUGCCUCUUCUCGGCUUGAGAAUAUAUGUAUAAUUGAUGAAAAGGAAUUAGGAAAAUUCCUAUAAAAGAAAGAAUUGCUUACUUGCUUCAACCUAUUGAAUUAAAGUCAUGUUUAUAAAAAUUUACGAUUUAAUAUAUUAUUGAUAUAACAUUAUUGGACCACUAGUAAGUGUCAAAAUAGACCUCUCGUCUUUACUUCAUCGAGAUUAGACAGGAUACUCACUGGGUACAUGUUGUUUUCAUACUCAUACUACACUUGCUAUUCAUUUUGUUGCAUAGGUUCGUAUGUGGCAUAUCUUAGUGGCAUAGGGGCAUGGAUAAUAUGGAGACUUAGAUGAGCUGCAAUUAUCGAGACGACCAACAGCCAACAACGUCUCCUUCAUAUUGUACUGUAUUUAUAUUUCUGUCCACUUGUAUUCCGGACAGUUACUGUAAUUUUUUACGCCAUUUCCUAUUAAAUGCUCAUGCACUUGACACCGGGGUUCUGGGAUGAUUAAAAAGAGGUACCUUGUAUUAACUGCUUAACACUUAUAUUCGAUUUGAAACGAUUAUUUUUUACUGGUAAAAUUGAAGAAAAAUCAUAGUUUUCAAACCUAUUAAAAUGAGAAUUUAAUUAAGUGUUUUGGUUGGCUCGCCUGACAGCGGUGUCUGGCGCCAUCACGAUCCUUAGUGGAUUUUUGGGUUGUGACAACAUGGUAUCAGAGCACUAGGUCCCCUUAGGUCUCAUGAGUCAUGAGCAAGUCUAGUAGAGCCUUGCGAAUCGGUACGGAGACGUGUAUACUUAUCUUCAGGAAGCUACAGGGCUGUUAGGAGCACUUCCCUUGUAGAUUCAUCCUUUUGCGAUUUGAAUCCUUGAGGCAUAUGUUCUUGUUUCCUUCCUACUCAAUCUUACGCGACGCUAACCACUUGUUAUAAAUCGAGAACUAAAGGAUUGUAAUGGUACUACGAAUGUGGGGCGGGGUAUUUCUCCCUGUGGGGUUGUUUGAGCUAUAUCAUCGCCUUGUGGAAGGAUAUUCUGCCGUUUCAACUCAGUAGCUGUACAUCUGAGAGCUCUGAGGCUAGACACAAGUUUCCAUGAUACUUAUGGAUUAUUGUUCCGCAGUAUUGAUAUGGUGGUAGGAUGUUUGCCUACGUGUCGGGCCAGUGAAUGACUUGAAGGGAGGUUUACUCAGUGCAUGAUCUAGAGAUUCUAUAUUUUAUUCCAGGCAGUGGAAAGGCAAUCGGGCUAAGACUGUUCAUAUUAGGGUUGAUAGGGUAAUGAGGCUUGGUAUUUUCGAGUGUGGUGGAAUUUUCAUCGCUUGUAGGGUAUCAUCGUCUUCGAUUGAACAUGUUGACUUCGUCGGUGUUAUGGUUUUCUUCAAUUCGCCUUUGCGGCAUGAUAUUGUGAAAUAAUAAUGGAGAGGUGAUUUUCAAAGAUCGCAGCGUGCGGUGGUUCGGGAUUAUAUCGGUAUAUCUAGGGUUGAUAGCCCAAGAAAGAUGAUCCCCGGAAAGGUUUAAAGUUAAUAGAGAAUUAUGGGUUUACAAAGAUGGAUUUUAUGUAAAGUAACAGUUGAGCAGCAAAGGAUGAGGAAGGACAUUUGGAGAGUGUCAGGUAGUGGUUAACAUUUCUACCAGGUAAGUUAUAAGAAGCAAAGGUCGAUUAGUCGAUUAAAAGGGUGAGUUCCGCCAAAAUAGGAGAGUGGCGGAGUUGCAUAUGGGCUUUGUGGUAGGAUUACUACGCACCUUAAGGAGAUUUUUGGAAUGAUUCGGGAAUUUUAGUGAUUGGUGAGUGGAGUCUACUGAUUUAAUUUGAAGCAUAGGCUAUUAUGCGGUAGAAGGUUUGAUAUAAUGGAAAGAAGCUGCUUGAAAUGAAUAAUGAUACAACAUAACUUUCAAUUGGAAGGAUGUUGCCGCACAUUUAAUUGAUGUCCACAAGGGAGGAAUAGACUUGUGCAGCUAGAGAGUGAGCUCGGACUCAGGACGGGUUAUUGUUGUCACAGUGAUUGUACCCCGUGCAGCAGCGUUGGAAGAUGUCGGAAAGUGAUUUUCACAUGUGGGUUAUUCCCUGUGAGCAGGUCAGCGGUCGUGUGGUUGGCGAAACUUCUAUGGAGCAUUUUACUGGCCAUUCCGGUAAGAGGUCAAAUAUAUGAAUGUUGAUGGAAAUUCAAGGAGUUCAUGAAGUGCUAAUAGAAGGAUUUCAAGGAAUCUGACAGUUUAAUUGCGUGAGGCCAUGUGAAUAAGAGAUAAAGAAUCUUGGUGAAUUCCAGAGUUGUGUAAUAGUGGCUUCAAUAUAAGUGGUAGAGUCCCAUCGCCAAUGAUUGGGUUACAUGGUUAACUACUUGCGAGGUUUAUGGUUAUUAGCAUAUUGAUGGGUUGUUUCAGUUACAGGAAAAGAUCAUAGGUGGUAAUUUGAGCAAAGGGAUUGUUAAAGGUGUGUUAUGGGUGGCCUUGGGAAAGGAUUCAAGAUUUGCACCUUGUAUAGAUCCGGGUUUCAAGGGAAGUAAUUCCGUCGGUUGCUUCGUCAAGAGGGUAUUCAUGUGCUAGAAGAUUCAUGGAGUUGAUUGUAUUCGGGGCCAAAUCAGAGCGGGUGGCUCUCAACAACAGUCCUGGUGAAUUUGAAGGGGUAAAGCAUGGUGCCUAAUAAUGUCGAGCCUAUUGGUACAGUUAAGAAUCAAGCUUGUAGCAGCUUAUGAGAGGUACCCAUAAUGUUCUAUGAUGUUUUGAAUUGUAGUGUAGCAAUUGAAAAGUAUGAAAUAGUUCAUGGGAUUUGAGACGACAUGGUCUCGUAAGUCACGGUCACUCGAGAUGAGUGAGGAUGGAGUGUGUUAUGUGUUGAAUGGAGCUAUUAUUUCUAAGGCAAUCAAGGAUAAAUUGGAUGAAGAUAGACUGGUUAGCCAUAGUUGAAUUGGCAUAUGGGUGGUAGUAAUUAGUUCUUUUAGCGAAUUAUGCAAGUGAAUUGUGGCGAUGUAUGACAUGCCUGUCGGCCGCUGUAAUUUAUUUUAUUUAGAAGUAUUCUUCUAUUAUGGAAUAUUGCAUGUUGGCAAAUCCCGGAAGGGUUAUGAUGGUUUAGACCAUUACUUGGAGAUUUGCAUAGGCUGCGGUUAUGGGAAUUCAAAUGUGUGUUGCUAUGGAUCUCCUGAAGCGAGUUAAGUGAAAAGUUUUAUAUGAUGAAGUGUUAAUCUAUUAGUGGUUCCGGGGUUACGAUAAAACUCGUGUUUUAUCGUAUAUUGGCAUGUUGGGUGCAGUGAGUGGUACGGAAUUUGAGCUGAGGAUCAAGGUUGCAAUUCGGUGUUAACAAGGAUGCCACGAGCUCGGAAGAGCGGGAAAAGGGUUUGGAUGUUUAAAGUAAGUUGGUAUGGUAUUCAACGUCACCUGAUAUCGGUGUUUUAUGAAAGAGGAUUCGCAUCAUGGUUAAUGAUUCUUAAUCGCUUUUCAGAUUAGUGCGGAUGGUGGUUUGGAUGUACGGGCCUUUUAUUUGUUAUGAAAGGUUGUGGGGGCGUAUCCCGCGGGAAGGUUGUAUAAGCGUGGCAUGUUGUCACUUGAUUGAUUGAAGAGUUAAAGCAAGUAUGAAGAUUGGGGUGAUGACAUUAAAUUGAGAAUUGAUGCCUGGAGGGAACUCGGUCUAUUGGGUUGUGGACUGUGGAGGAUUACUCCGGUUAUGAUGGAUGUUCUUGUGUGUUAUGAGAAAAGGGGAGUUAGUAUGGACCUUGAAAGGUUAUUAGCCUAGUUUGGUACGACUAGGAUCGACUUGAGGUCGUGAAUAUGGGUUGUAUAUCAGGCAAGAUGCGUUCAUUACAACAAUGUACUCCAUAUGGAAGAGUAUUCAGGGUGUUAUUUCGUUGUCAGCUAUUUCAUGUAUAUGAUAUAUUGUGCUGUGUGAGUUGUGAUAUGGCUUGGUGAAUUUCUUAUUUAUUGAGGUUCCACGUAGAGUCGAUGUUAUAUGAACAGAAUGGCUCUUGGGAUUCAGAUCGUAUAUCGCACCUCAGUUGUGCUCGAGUUUGUAGCUUAUAGCUCUAUAUGUCUCCCUAGGAAUUGUAUUAUGCACUUAGCGUGCUUGUGACCGAUAUUUGGUAUUUUGUUGAGAUGAGAAAUUUAGCUUGAUGUAUAUCUCCUUAAGUGAAUUCUAUGUGUGGAUCGGGUGGCACGCCGCCAUAGGUAUGUUACUUGGAUCGGGUUUCAUGCCAUAACAGUGUGAUGUUGAGUACAGUUCCCUAUAUUUGUUUAUAUGUGUUUUGUUUCCUAAUUUUUUUAGGAAACUCAUAUUAGUUGUGUGCCCGCGUCGCAUGUAUGAUUCGCUAGCGAGGUAAUUGGAUGUACUUUUUCAGAGUUCGCUUUUCUUUUGUGUCGCAUUCGAAUUAGCAGCAUAUUGGCACAUCGUGGCAUCAUAUGAGACUUUUGAUCAUGUCUGGGGUGGUUUAUUGCCUAAGCAGUUCGUACUGGAUGAGACGAGAGUAUUGGAUUUAGGAUCAGUGCAAUAUGAUUAUAUGAAGUAUAUUAAGGAGCAAAGACCAUUAUUCGGUUCAGAAUGAGGUAUGGUUCUUAUCAGGAGUGUAGACCCAAUAAAUUGUCAAUUCGGCAGUUGGUUAUGAAUUUCUACACAUCUCUUCCAUCGUGGCAGUAUUGUAAGAGUUAGAGCAACACCUAUAUAGGUGAUGAGGUGCAAUAGGAGCAUCAGAUUUAUGGAAUUUCAAAUUAAUUUAUCAGAGAAUGUUAUUCUGGCCCCGCAAGUAAAGUGGUGCAAGGUGUGAAUUCAGCUAAGGUAUAUAGUCAUGUUUUGGUGCUGCGUGUAGUUAUUGAUUCGGUGAGAAUAUGCUGGAAUAGGCCUGGUAGGAGAAUUUCGAAUGUUGGGAUUGGGCUCUAAGGAUUGUUUGCCUAAGUGAAAAAGGAUAUCUUCAUAUUUAUCGAGCUAGGGUGCCUAGCUGAGUUGUGGUACCACGAGUAGGUGCUCGAGGUGUUAAACAGUGAAUUCAGGCAACUCCAGCACAGUUCUUAGCAUGUUCGAGGAUGAACGUAUGUUUAAGUGGGAGAGAAUGUAAUGACCCGACCAGUCGUUUUGAGCUCUAGCGCGUCAUUCAGCAGUUUGGGGCCAUGAGCAACUUCACUUCAGGUAUAUGACUUUUGCAAAUGGUCAGAAUUGAAUUUCGAGAAGUUCGAAGUUGAUCUGGAAAGAGAAUUUUCAUUUCGGAAGCUUUAAAUUGAAAGAAUUGAUUAAGGUUGAAUUUUUGAAUAAACGACCUCAAAAUCAGGAUUCGAAGGUUCUAGAAGGUUAGUAUGAUGAUUUCGGACUUGGGCGUAUGUCCGGACUAGGUUUUGGAAGACCCGGGAACGUUUCAACGUCUAUUGUGGAAGUUAGCAUUUGUGAAAAAAUCUCAUAAGUUGGAUUGAAGUGCAUUUCAGGGUUAUCAAUGUCCGUUCAAGAUUCUGAAUGUGGGAAUAGCUUUGUAUGGUAAUUCCGGUAUUGGAAGCGUGAUUGGAAGUGAGUUCGGAGGCCCAUGGGUCAUUUUGGAGUCAUUUGGCUAAAGAUAGAAAUUUGUAGGUUUUUAAGAAGUUUGACCGGAAGUGGACUUUUUGAUAUAGGGGUCGGAAUCUGAUUCCUAAAGUUGGAGUAGGUCUAUAAUGUAGAAUAUGACUUGUGUGCAAAAUUUUAAAUCAAUCGGACGUAAUUUGACAUGUUUAAACAUUGAAAGUAGAAGUUUGAAAUUCUAAAGUUCAUAAAGCUUGGAUUGCAGGUCGAUUCAAGCUUUUAGCAUUUUUUUGAUAUGAUAUGAGGACUCGAGCAAGUCCGUAAAGUGUUUUGGGACCGCUUGGUAUGAUUAGUUGGGGUGCCGAGGACCUCGGGUGGAUUCAGGGUGGUUAAUAGAUCGAAAAUGAAAUUUUGGAGAAGGCUGAAGUUGUUGGUUGAUGGUGUAACCGCAGCUGCGAAACUAGGUCUACAGGUGCGGAGCCAAAGAAGCGGACUUCGUGCCGCAAAGUGGAAAUGGAUGGCUAGGUUGGGACCAAAGAUGCGGUCAUUUUUCCACAUAUGCGGGACUGUACCUGUGGAUGGAGAAGAGCAGAUGCGGAAGAUGAAGGCUUGGGGGAAGACCGUAGAAGCGGAAAUUGGUCUGCACCUACGGGGCCGCAGAAGCGGUCAAUAGACCGCAGGUGUGAAUGAACUGGAGGCAGUGAGUGUUUUAAAAAUCGGGUUUUGGCCAUUUCCUCUCAUUUUUCUCUUGGCUUGGACGAUUCUUGGAGGAUUUCAAGAGGGGGUUUCCAUCAUCAAUGUUAAGGUAAACUAUCCCCACCUAUCUUGAGUUAAAUACAUUUAUUAUGUAUGGAUUUGAGCAAGAAAUUUGUAGAAACUUGGGGUUUGAGGGAAAACCUAGAAAAUUGAUAUUCUUGGAAUUUGACCACGAUUUUGGGUAUGAAAUUGAGAGUAAAUUAUAUAUUUGAGUUCGUGAGGUUAUGGGUAAAGUUUAUUUACGAAAACUUUAGGAAUCCGAGAACAUGGGCCCGAUGGCAAUUUUGUCAACUUUUAGAUCGGGGUUAGAAAUUAUUAUAAAUUGGAUUGUAAUGAGUAAUUGGGCAUAUAUUAACAGAUUUGCAUAAUUAUUGGCUAGCUUUGGAGCAUUUAGCAUCGAUUCGAGUCUUCGAAAGGGCGCGAAAUGUCUGUUAGGAAUAUUCGGAGCGAGGUGAGUCUCAUUUCUAACCUUGUAAGAGAGAAUUGUCCCCAUAGGUGAAUCAAUUGAAUUUGUGCUCCUAUCUGUGGCGGAUAUGUUCACACGAGGUGACAAGAGUUCGUGCGUAGCUACUAUUAUGUUUUACUAUAAAUUUCAUUGUUGCCGGUAUUGACAUGUAGAACGGGACUCUAUCUUUUUUCUCGUCUGAUUAAUCAGUUUUUCAAAAGAUCUAUCAGACUAUGGAGUGAAUGGUUUGAUCAAUGAAUAUUCGAUUCUUUCUUCAAUGUAGAAUCGAUUCACACCAAUUCUUCUAUUUUAAUCAGUUUUUCAAAAGAUCUAUCAGACUAUGGAGUGAAUGGUUUGAUCAAUGAAUAUUCCAUUCUUUCUUCAAUGUAAAAUCGAUUCACACCAAUUCUUCAAUUUUUAUAGAAAAAAUACGGAUUCGGGUCAUCAUUAAUCAUUUGAUAUAGUAUUCAAUAGUCCGGGUAGUCUAGGACCCAAAAGCAUGCUAUUCUUGGAAUAAUUGUAUUCUUAUCGCCAGUUUAAAUUGCUUAAAUCACAUCGAAUUAGUAAAUGAAUUUCUAAGAAGAUUAAACUUCAUUUUUUGAAUUGUUUAAAGAGAUUUGGAUUUUUCUUGGAUAAUUGUUCCCUGAUGAAUUCUUGAUUAACUGAUUGUUGUGUUUAUUUAUAUUUGACUGUGUCGCAUGUAUGAUUUGCGGGCGGGGUAAUAGAUGCAUCUAUGGUUUGCGUCAUUCGACCCUCUUACAGUGCACAAUUUAAAUAUUGUUGAAUCGGGCCGUACGGCCUCGGCAUGAUUUACGCAUGCUUGUUGCUUGCCUUGAAAAUUAUUGAAGUUGUUAAUGCCUCUUCCCGGCUUGAGAAUAUAUGAAUAAUUGAUGAAAAGGAAUUUGGAAAAUUCUUAUAAAAGAAUUGUUUACUUGCUUCAACGAAUUAAAGUCAUGUCUACAAAAAUCCAUGAUUUAAUAUAUUAUUAAUAUAACAUUAUUGGACCACUAGUAAAUGUCGAAGACGACCUCUCGUCUCUACUUCUUCGAGAUUAGACGGGAUACUCAUUGGAUACAAGUUAUUUUCGUACUCAUACUACACUUGUUGUGUAUUUUGUUGCAUAAAUCCGUAUGUGGCAUAGCUUAGUGGAAUAGAGGCAUGGAUGAUAUGGAGACUUGGAUAAGCUGCAAUUAUCGAGACGACCCGCAGCAAGCAGAGUCACCUUCAGAAGAUUGUGCUAUAGUUUCGUUUAUGUCCACUUGUAUUCCGAACAGCUGCUGUAUUUUUUUAUGCCAUUUUCUAGUAAAUGCCCAUGCACUUGUGACACGGGGUUCUGGGAUGAUUAUGGGGUACCUUGUAUUAACUGCUUAACACUUAUAUUCGAUUUGAAACGAUUAUCUUUUACUGGUAAAACUGAUGGAAAAUCAUAGUUUUCAAAAUUGUUAAAACGAGAAUUGGAUUAAGUAUAUUGGUUGGCUUGCCUCACACCGAUGUCCGGUGUCAUCACGACCCUUGAUGGAUAUCAUCUUUCAUGUUUUCUUAAUUUAUCACCAUUUAAAUAGUAAACUGUCUUGAGAGUUUUGCUAAGUCCUAUAAAAGUUUGUAGGUAUGUAUUUAUGUAUGUAUGUUAUUGCAUUCUACUUUUACUAGUGACUCCUGCAUUACUUUCGAAAAAAUUCUAAAAAUCACCGAAUCAUACCGACAUCAAAGAAAAACCGGCACAAUUAGGAUAGUUUUGAAAAGUCUAAUAUUAAUUAUGCAUAAUAAAAUAAUCGAAAAAUUAAUAUGAUAUAAAUUCUAUAGUUAACCGGCCGAACCGAAACUGCUGACACCCCAGGUAGUACUAGUAAUGUUUUAGGGCAUGGUAGUUUNNNNNNNNNNNNNNNNNNNNNNNNNNNNNNNNNNNNNNNNNNNNNNNNNNNNNNNNNNNNNNNNNNNNNNNNNNNNNNNNNNNNNNNNNNNNNNNNNNNNNNNAAAUUUCACAUUAUAAUUUUUUUCAGAGUGAACUCAAUAAUACACGAUUAUGUUUCAGAUGAUUUCAGUGCUUUUGCUCAAAUCCGAUAUUUGUAUUAGAAAAUUCUUUAAAUAUAUAAAUAUUUAGUUAUCGAAAUUCAGUAACUAAGACUAGCUUUAGAUUCAAUAACGACAAGUUCAAAAUAGAUAAACUUUCGAUCCUAAUUCGGUAAUUCCCCCCACUAGGUGGUAUGUCUUUGAGCAGCAUUUGAAUAAAGUUGACAAAAAUGUAUUUGAAGUUAAAAAUUUUGUUGUGGUAUUACCAACUGAGACUGAAGCUUUAACUUUGGUUGGUUAUGUAGAAGACUAGAACUCGUGUCUGACAGAAAGUGGUCGUACUGUAAUUACGAGAAAGAAAUAUUAUCACGUACUCCAUAAAUAAAAAUUAAAAAAAAACAGUAAAUCCAAAUGUUGGCUUAUUCUCAUCAACUUUUAAAUUAUUGAGGUUAGGACCGCAUCUUUCCACUAGCUCAAGACUCAAGGAUAAAAAGAAAGGACGGCAAAAAAGCUAGAGCUAAUUUGUUGAUGCACUAAGUUGUAUUGCUGGUCCUUAUUAAAUUAUGACGAUCCGAUCCCUCGUCUCAUGUGUUACUGUCCCGUUUCUCUUAUUUUUAUGCUUCUUCAUGUCUCAUUGUCGAUAUUUGGUGUGAUAGAGUUAAUCCGAAUUGAUUUUGGAAGGAAACGAGACCCUUAGUCUCUUUAAGAAAAGUUUUAUUUGAAAAAGUCACUGGUUCGAGUUGAGUAAUGCUUGUAAAUGAUAUCCUGAGGGUUUGAAACCCCAGAUUUGCACAUCGUAGUGCUAUAUUGAGGUGAGACACGCACCUUAUGACGAGUGCGGAGUCGUUGGUUAUUGGGGAUUGUGACUUGGUCCGUCCCGAGAGAUGUUUCUUCUGUGUUUUCGACUAGACCUUCUUUGAUAAUCAUCCUACUUUGAUUUAUUUGUUAUAUUUGGGCUUCGUGCCAAUUAUUUGAAUCCUCCACGGAUUGAUAUCACUGUUUUCACAUAUUUUGCAUAUUAUUUGAUCUUAGUUCAAGGUUUUAAAUAUUGUUUUGCAACUCAGCCAUCUUUCUAAGAUUUGAAAACUUAAAUGAUAUUUCUAAAUGAUAUUUGGGGGCUGAGAACUACUAUUUUACAAAUGCCCAAGGGGCUUGUGAUGAUUUCUGGACUGAUCAUGGAUCGGGCUGCGCGCCGCAGCGAUAUUACAGUGAUAUUGAGGCCGAAAGCCUGGUUGAUGCCACGAGAUGGCUUGAUAAUUGCGCUUAGGCUGUAGGAACUCCUCCGAAGUCCGUACACAUCCCCAGUGAGCGCCGUCGACGUUAAAUGGAUCGGGUUCCACGCCACAGCGAGUACUAGAGUAUGUUGUCAUAUGCAUUCCAUUGUACUCAUGCCUUUGCUCAUUAUCUGUCUAGUAUCGUCAUAUGCUUUGCAUUGUACUCAUGCCUUUGUUCAUUAUUUGUUGUUUUGCUUUUUCUUGAAAUAGUUAUCUGUUGUUUUGGUAUUAUCUGAUCACUCCUAAAGAGGAUAAAUUUAGACAGUGGUAACAAUGACACUGAAAGAUGUGCUUUGUCCGGUAACAACGUAUGACCAGUAAUAAUACCGUGCGGUCAGGUAGCAAUGGCUGACCAUGAACGAGAUUAUGGACCGAGGGGCGAGGUUCUGUGCAUAACAACAUUAUUUGUUUGAAAUUAUUCUUGCAAUUGUUGAAAAGAUUAUUUUCAAAAGAGGUUUAAAACUUAGCCAAGAUAUUUCCAAAGAUUUUAUAGUUUCACUGUUUUCUCAAAGGGUUAGAUUGUCCCAUAUAGCAUGAUGGCUUGCAUUACAUGAUUUCUUACCGCUCAGUUAUUAUUUAUUUUUAUUACUCACUGAGUUAGAGUACUCACUUUACUCCCUGCACCUCCCAUGCAAAUGCAGGUAUUGAUCACCCGGUAGCGGGUUUUGAGCUGAUUGAGGGCAUUACUAUUAUACCUGAGCAGAGUGACCACUAGCGUUUGCGGAACCGGAUUUCCUCCUUUGGUUAUAAAUUUUAUUAUUAUGUUUUGGCCCUGUAGUUGUAUUUAGACUUCUCUAGAUACUCAUGACUUAUGAUACCCCAUAUUGGGUUGUGUAUAGGUUGAACUUUCGCUAAAUAAUGUUAUUAAAUCAUCUUUAAAAAUGUUUAUUCAUGUUUAUCUACUUUUGAAAAGGAAAAUUAAGUUGGGUUGGCUCGCCUUGUCUUCAUGAGAGGCGCCAUCACGAUCGAAGCGGUGUUUGCGUCAUGACAAGUUGGUAUCAGAGCCUAGGUUACUAGGUUUAACGAGUCAUGAGCGGGAAGAGUAAUUGGGUGUUGCUCAGUAAAUGGAGUAUUGGUUAUGACCUAUCGGGUCGCGUGGGUAUGUUAUUUGUUUCACAGUAGGUGUAAUGAAUUGCUUUGGUUCUAGACAUCAAAUUGUGCGUGGCUGUCGAUUUUGAGCAUAGUGACUUGAGGUGUUUCAUAUGUGACAGUGUAUGGAUAGGAUCUCCCAUUGUAGCGAGGCCACGUGAAGAUAUGACCUUUCAGGGUAGAUUCAGGUGUUCUAAUUCUAUGGUGUGAGAUGGGGUCUCAGCCUUGUGUUGUGAUGGUACUGAUGAGCUUGGGGUACCGCUCUUUCGUUUGAGUCAUUUUUCAUGAUUUAAGUAUGUUAAGACUGUUUCUUAUUGGUGCGCGUAUUAUGCAAGUUGUGGCUUAGGCAUAUAUUGAGGUGUGAUAUCACCAGAGUGGUGUGUUGGAUUCUAAGUGAUCGUUGGGGUCACUAAUGAAUACGAAUGGAUUUGAUUCCAGCAUUUUGGAAGAAUAAUAUUGAGGUUCGGCUUGGAAUCUGCUGUGGUAUUAGUCAAAAGGGAAAUGUCUUCAUGAAUGGUUGAUAUGAGAAAUGGUUAUGGUUUAUUGCGUGUUCCAUUUAUCGUUGCUAGUAUAUGAAAAUGUUGGAAUAAGACCUUGGUUGAUAAUAGGUUUUCUACCGGUAUUCGGGUAUUGUAGGCAACUACUGUGAAUAGAAGUUAUCAUUUCGAGUGUUUGGGUUAUGUAAUAUAUCAUAUGAUUGAGGGUUAUUACAGCUAUUUCGGGCUUAUUCUGAGUAUAGAUGUGAGGUUCUAAUCUUAUGUAUGAUUUUGGAAAGCGCAAUGUGGUUCUAUAGUUUAUGGACUACAUGGAUUGUGAAAUUUCAGCUAUGUUGUGUUAUCAGACCUAUGCGAGAUACGGUGAAAUGGGAUCACCCUCGGGUAUAUGCUUGGUAAGGUCAUUCAGCUAUUGGUUGGCUUGUAGGACAACUUUAAGUUAGGGAGGAUGUGACGACCCAACCCAUCGUCUCAUGUGUUACUAUCACAUUUCCCCCAUUUUUAUGCUUCUUCAUGUCUCUUUAUCAGUAUUUGGUGUGUUAGAGUUAAUCCAAAUUGGUUUUGGAAGGAAAUGAGACACUUAGUCUCUUUAAGCAAAGUUUGAUUUGGAAAUGUCAACCGAAUGUUGACUUAUGAGUUAGAAGGCUCGGAUGUGAUUUCUGGUGAUUUGGUUAGCUUCGGGGGAUGAUUUGUGACUUAGGAGUUUAAUCGGAAGUGAUUUUGAAGGUUCGGCGUAAAGCUAGGCUUGAAUUGGAGAAGUUUGCACUUUGGCGAUAUCCGGUUGAUAGGUGAGAUUUUGAUAAAAUUGACGUAAAGGAAUUCUAAGAGCUGCAAUAGCUUUGUUACAUGAUUUGGGAUGUGUGUGCAAAAUUUCAUGUCAUUCGGAGGUGAUUUGGUUCUGUUUUUGAUCAAAUACGUGUUUCAGAUGUUUUUGGAGAACUUAGUCUUGAAUUCGAUGUGAAUUGAUGGUUUUGAUGUUGUUUGAUGUGUAUUGUUGAUUUGAAUGAGUUUGAAUUAUGUUUUAGGAUGUGUUGGUACUUUUUAUUGAGUUUCCGGGGGCCUUGGGUGAGUUCCGGGUGGUCAAUCGGACCAUUUUUCUGUUUGAGAGAUAAAAGAAAAAUCAGUUGAAGUAUUGCUGAUGUUUUGGCCUUCGUGUUCGAAAAGGGGAAUUCUCGUUCGCAGAGGGUUGAGUUAUGUAUGCCUCGCAUUCCCGAGGGUCAAUGUCGCGUUCGCUAAGGCUUGUGAGGGACAUCAUCGCAUUCACUGGUGUGUGUACGCGAUCGCGAAAGAGGAUUUGGGGCUGAUGGUCAGUUAUUCAUCGUGUUCGCGUGGAAGUGAUCGUAUUCGCGAAGGUCAAGGCUUUGAAGCAUCACGGUCGAAACUAGUAUGUCGUGUUCACGUAAGGUAAAAUUUGGUCAGUGCAACUUUGUGCUACGCGUUCGCGAGUGUUGGACCGCUUUCGGAAGAAAGAAUUCCUAUAGUUGGGCAAAAUGUUUUAAAACAUUUCAUCCGCGAUUUUGGGGCUCAUUUACCCCAUUGUUGAUUGUUUCGAGAACUUUUUGAAGGAACUUUAAUAGGGAUUCAAGGAGAAUCAACUGGAGGUAAGAAUUUUGAACUCAAAACUCGGUCUUAUUGUGUAAUCCAUCUAGAAAUUCAUGGAAAUUAAGCCUAAAAUUGAUGAACUGGGGCUUGGGAUUUUGAGAUUUUAAAUUGGGAUUUGAUGGGUAAUUUGAGCUCAUAUUAAGGAGUUCUUGGUAUGUAUGAACUCGUGGCGAGAUAAGGAAUCAAUUUAUGUGAAUUUUUCAAUUUUUCAAGAAGUGGGCCAAGGGCUCAGGUUUUUCUAAAUUCGAGAUUUUUGCUAUUUUUCUAUUGUUUUCGAUUGGAUAUUGUACCCUUGUGAUGUACUCGCUCUGAUUUUGGUUAGAUUCGAUGUGUAUGGAGGCUGAUUUGAGGGGCAAAGGCGUCGCGAGCUUGAGUUUCACCGGUUCGAGGUAAGUAGUGCUUGUAAAUGAUAUCUUAAGGGUUUGAAACCCAGGAUUUGCACCAUCGUGAUGCUACUUUGAGGUGAGACACGCACCCUAUGACGAGUGCGGGGUCGUUGAUUAUUGGGGAUUUUCAUUUGCUCCGUCCCGAGAGAUGUUUCUACUCUGUUUUCGACAAGACCUUUUUUGAUAAUCAUCCUACUUGGAUUUAUUUGUUAUAUUUCGGCUUCGUGCCAAUUAUUUGAAUCCUCCAGGAAUUGAUAUCGCUGUUUUCACAUAUUUUGCAUAUUAUCUGAUCUCAGUUCAAGGUUAUAAAAAUUGUUUUGCAACUCAGCCAUCUUUCUAAGAUUUGAAAACUUAAAUGAUAUUUCUAAAUGAUAUUUGGGGGCUGAGAACUACUAUUUUACAAAUGCCCAAGGGGCUUGUGAUGAUUUCUGGACUGAUCAUGGAUCGGGCUGCGCGCCGCAGCGAUAUUACAGUGAUAUUGAGGCCGAAAGCCUGGUUGAUGCCACGAGAUGGCUUGAUAAUUGCGCUUAGGCUGUAGGAACUCCUCCGAAGUCCGUACACAUCCCCAGUGAGCGCCGUCGACGUUAAAUGGAUCGGGUUCCACGCCACAGCGAGUACUAGAGUAUGUUGUCAUAUGCAUUCCAUUGUACUCAUGCCUUUGCUCAUGCCCAAGGAACUUGUGUUGAUUUCUGGACUGAGCAUGGAUCGGGCUGCGCAUCACAACGGUAUUACAAUGAUAUUGAGGACGAGAGCCUGGUUUAUGCCACGAGAAGGCUUGAUAAUUACGGUUGGGCUGUAGGUUCCCCUCCGAAGUCUUUACACACCCCAGUGAGAGACGUCGACGUUAAAUGGAUCGGGUUGCACGCCGAAGCGGGUACUAGAGUGUACCGUCAUGUGCAUUGCAUUGUACUCAUGCAUUUGUUCAUUAUAUGUUGUUGUGCUUUUUCUUGAAAUAUUUAUCUGAUGUUCUAGUAUUAUCUGAUCACUCCUAAAGAGGAUAAAAUUAGACAGUGGUAAAUGACACAAAAUGAUACGUGUGGUCAGGUAAUAACGACUGAUCGGUAAUAACACCGUGCAGUCAGGUAACAAUAGAUGACCAUGAACGAGAUUAUGGCUCGAGGGGCAGGGUUUUGUGCAUAGCACCACUAUUUGUUUGAAAUUAUUCUUGCAACUGUUGAAAAUAUCAUUUUCUAGAGAGGUUUAAAACUGAGCCAAGAUAUUUCCAAAGAUUUCACAGUUUUACUGUUUUCUCAAAGGGUUGCAUCGUCCCAUAUAGCAUGAUGGCUUACUUUACGUGAUUUCUUACCGCUCAGUUAUUAUUUAUUUUUAUUACUCACUGAGUUGGAGUACUCAUUUUACUCCCUGCACCUCGAGUGAAGAUGCAGGUAUUGUUCACCCGGUAGCGGGUAUUGAGUUGAUUGAGGGCAUUACUAUUGUAGCUGAGCAGCGUGACCGCUAGCAUUACUAUGUUGUUGGCUUUGUAGUUGUAUUUAGACUUAUAUGCUCAUGACUUGUGACACCCAGGUUUCGGCUGAUUAUAGGUUUAAAUUUCGCUAAAUAAUGUUCUUAAAUCAUCUUUAAAAUUGUUUAUUCAUAUUUAUUUUCUUUUGAAAAAGGCAAAUUAAGGUUGGUUGGCUGGCCUUGUCUUCACGAGAGGCGCCAUCACGACCGGAGCGGGGUUUGGGUCGUGACAAGUUGGUAUCAGAGCCUAGGUUAUAUAGGUCUCAUGAGUCAUGAGCAGGGUUAAUAAAGUCUCGCAGAUCGUUAUGGAGACGUCUGUAUUUAUCCUUGAGAGGCUGCAGAACACUUGGUUACUGGUCAAACGAGUCAUGAAUAGGUUUAGUAGAGUCUCACGGAUCAGUACGGAGACGUCUGUAUUUAUUCUCGAGAGGCUGCAGAACCUUUAGGAAAACUUCACAUUCUUGAAAUCUUAUCGUGCGUCCUUGAUUCAGCUUGAAAGAGUGACUUUUGAAAUUACUUCCACGCAUUCGCAUGUGUGUAUGAGAACUCUGUAUCAGAUGUGCCUUGAUGUCUUGUGAUUUUAUGAUUGAGGGGUGAGACGUGAUCUCUGUGAGUUGAUGUUGGGCUAGUCUAAAGGACUUGAGGCCGGAUGUUUGCCUAUGGCUUGAGCACCGAGGUGGUGAUUUUCUGAGCAAGUGUUUUGAUCUUAUGUAUUCAGUAUUGUCCCUAAUAGUGGGAAUGAUGGCUGGAUAGCUUGUGAUGAGUAUGUUAGUACUGCGUGAUGUUUCUAUAUGACUUGGAAGUUCAAGGAAGAUCCGUUGGGCAGAGGUGGACUAUUAAGUGUAUGAUUUCCACUGUGAUUGGAGGUAUAGCUCCGAGUUAUGGGCGUGUGAAGAAUCUUUUCAGGUUUUCUAGCUGGGAGUGAGGUAGAUUGCACGUUGUGGUAUGAGUUCAGACUCACGAAGACUAAGUGACUGUGUAAUGUCUAUGUCGGUGGAAGGUGUGCAGAAAUGUUAUAUUGAGGCGGAGCAGGUGGGUUAUCUCCUGCUGAGUUUUCUGAAGUGGCAUGAUCCAUAUGUGUAUGUUAGAAUAUCUCAUGUGUAAUUGAAGUGUAUGUGCUGAAUUUGGAAGUUCGGAUGCAUAAGAAAGUGGGUUUAACUGUUACGGGGAUGAAUGCGGGAUUUGCAGAAGUUUUACAUUACUAGACGCUUUGAGUUUUGCAAACUUAUGAAUGAUGGGAGUUCCACGUCGCCAUGGUAUUUUGGCAUCAAUAGAGUAAAAGUAUUAUGAGUUACUGAGUGUAUCUUGAUAUAUGGCUUCGAGCCAAGUUGGGGAGUUUCCUAUUGAUUAGCUAAUUGUACGGUUAUGUGUUAUGUUUGUUCCAGCUUGAGGCUUGCGAGCGAGUUAUCUAUGGUUAGAGUAAAGGAAAGUUUUGACCAGGGUUAUAUUAUGCUUCAUAGAGUAUGAGAAUUUCAGAAUAUCUAGAGUUGUUAUUGGCAAAGAAUGCUCGGUGCUUAGAGCGGGAAGUUGCUUGGUUAUAAUUGGAUGAGGAUUUCAUUCCGCGGUGUCGGACUACCAAUGAGGCACGGGUGGUUAUAUUUUCUUUUGUUUAGGUAAAUUGCAGUGAAUAAGAGAAAAUGACUUGCGAAGAUGGUUCUAAUGUGUUCAAGAUUCUACAUGUAGCAAUGAGGUAUCUUGAAGUAGCAUAUGUGAUUAGGAAGCGAGUUUCAUUGGAAAAAGUCCAAACUUGUGGUUUUUCCAAGUUAAUUGUGGGAUUAUAAAUAUAAGUGUCAGGAAAGUAAAGGUAGCAGAUUUAGAUUUGCAAGAAGUUCUUCAGUGUAAAGUAAUUCGGAAUGUGGUAAUUCUGGGAAUAAUUAAGAGACUAUUCAGCGACUUAUGGGACUUCUAUUUAGGGGUGAUUUGGCUAGAGUAUGUGUUUCAGAAAAAGGGCUACGUGAUUAAAUGGAUGGCAGUUUGAUGGUAUUAUGUAAUUUCUUGUUAGAUCGACUGGUGAUAUUCGGGGUGGCUUGUUGGUACAUGGAAAAUUUUGGAGUAUCUAUCAUGGAAUUACUGGCUAUUAAGGUGUGGUAUGCUUUCGGACGGCGAAAUUGGGAUUUGGUACUAUGAUUCGUGUGCUAUGUGGGUUUGGAGACGGAAGGCAAAUUCAGUCUAUGUUGUGAUUGUGGAUCCUAUGUAUCGGCACCGUGUAACGGCUAUCGAUAUUUGGAGGCCUGAGUGGACCUUUCUUUGUCUGGUAUAUCAGAUUUUGGAUAUGAUAUCGGGGUUUAUAUUGUGUUUCUCAGUGUUGGGUUAUUUUGGAUUAUUCUAUUAUAGUUAUGAUGUAAAUGCCACAGGGUGAGUGGCGAGGUGCGUCAGAGUAUGUUCAAGUAGAGUGGUUUUUGUUUUGAAGAACCAGCGGACGACUGGGAAGGGUUGCUUUUCUUAUUUGUGCCUUCGUGAUGGGUGUCAGUGCAGAGGUUGCUAUCAAUGAUUCAAUUUUGGUGUUGGGGAACUUUUCGAAUGUGUUUCUGGCCGGGCAUAUCGUUGGAGGAAGUUGUGGAUUUUAGUAUUAAUUUUGUGCCGGGCACCGUAUCGUACGACUCUGGCAAGAGUUAUGGUAGUGGAAGGAGCAGCUUCAAGGUUUCUUGGUAAUGAGUUCGUUGAUAAGCUGAUCUCGAUAUGUAUUUAGCUUGAGUUGGCUUGCUUAGCGGCGAAUUGUAUUGUUGAGGGAUAGGUUAAUUCGUCCGAUAAUAAGCUUGUUAGUGAUUUGAGGAGAGCUAUGAGUUGCUUUUCGGUGUUGUUAGAUGUUAUGAUUUGUUGGCUAUGGGCACAUGUGGUGCGGCUCUAUCGGGUAUUCAUAGUGAAAGUUGAGUGGGAAGAGUAAUUGGGUGUUGCUCGGUAAAUGGAGUAUUGUUUAUGACCCAUCGGGUUGCGUGAGUAUGUUAUUAGUUUUACCGUAGGUGUACUGAAUUGCUUUGGUUCCACACAUCAAAUUGUGCGUGGUGUCGAUUUUGAGCAUAGUGAGUUGAGGUAUUUCAUGUGUAACAAUGUUUGGAUAGGAUCGCCCAUUGUAGCAAGGCCACCUGGAUAUAUGACCUUUCGGGGUAGAUUCAGGUGUUCUAAUUCUAAGAUGUGAGACGAGGUCUCAGCCUUGAAUUGUGAUGGUACUGAUGAGCUUGGGAUACAGCUCUUUAAUUUGAGUCAUUUUUCAUGAUUUGAGUAUAUUCAGACCGUUUCUUAUUGGUGCGCGUAUUAUGCAAGUUGUGGCUUAGAUCUGUAUUGAGGCAUCAUAUCACUAGAUUGGUGUGUUGGAUUGGAGGUGAUUGUUGGGGUCACUAAUGAAUACGAACAGAUUUGAUUCCAGCUUGUUGGAAGGAUAAUAUCGAGGUUCGGCUAAAAAUAUGUUGUAGUAUUAGUCAAAAGGGAAGUGGCUUCAUGAAUGGAUGAUCUAAGAAAUGGAUACGGUUUAUUACAUGUUUCAUUUAUCAUUAGCAGUAUAUGAAAAUGUUGGAAUAAGACCUUGGUUGAUAUGAGGUUUUCUACCGGCAUUCGGGUGUGGUAUGCAACUGUUGUGAAUAGAAGUUAUCUUUUCGAGUGUUUGGGUUAUGUAGUAUAUCAUAUGAUUGAGGAUUAUUACAGCUGGUUCGGGCUUAUUAUGAGACUAGAUGUGAGGUUCUGAGCUUGUUAUGGUUUGGGAAAGCGCAAUAUGGUUCAAUGGUAUAUAGACUAGAUGGAUUGUGAAAUUUCAGCUAUGUUGUGUUAUCGGACCUAUGCGAGACACGGUGACGUUCGAUCACCCCCAGGUAUAUGCUUGGUAAGGUCAUUCAGCUAUUAGUUAGCUUCUAGGACAACUUUAGGUAUGCUCGAGGAUGAGCAUUUAUUUUAGUUGGGAAGGAUGUGACGACCCGACACGUCGUCACUUGUGUUAUUGUCUCGCUUCCCCAAUUUGUAUGCUUCUUCUCUUGUUUUCGAUAUUUGGUGUGUUAGAGUUAAUCCGGAUUGGUUUUGUAAGGAAAAAAGAUACUUAGUCUCUUUAACGAAGGUUUGGUUUGGAAAAGUCAACCAGAUGUUGACUUAUGAGUUAGAAGGCCCAGAUGUGAUUUCCGGUGAUUCGGUUAGCUUCGGGGGAUGAUUUGUUACUUAGGAGCUUGAUCGGAAGUGGUUUUGGAGGUCCGGCGUAAAGCUAGGCUUGAAUUGGCGAAGUUUGUAUUUUGGCGAUAUCCGGUUGAUAGAUGAGAUUUUGAUCUGAGGGUCGGAAUGGAGUUCUGAAGUUUGAAUAAUUUUUUUAUGUGAUUUGGGAUGUAUGUGAAAAUUUUCAUGUCAUUCGGAGGUGAUGUGGUUGGGUUUUUUUAUCAAAUGCAUGUUUCGGAAGUUUUUUGAGAACUUAGGGUUGAAUUCGAUUUGAAUUGAUGGUUUUGAUGUUGUUUGAGGUGUUUUGUUGAUUGGAACGAGUUUGAAUGAUAUUUUAGGAUGUGUUGGUUCUUUUGGUUGAGGUCUCGGGGGCCUCGGGUGAGUUCCGGGUGGUCAAUCGGACCAUUUUUGUGUUUGAGAGAUUGCAGAAAAAUCAGCUGAAUUGUUGCAGAUGUUUUGGCCUUCGCGUUCGUGAAGGGAAGUUCUGUAAGCCUCACGUUCAUGAGGGUCAAUACCGCGUUCGCGAAGUCUUGUGAGGGACUUCAUCUCAUUCGCGGGUAUGUGUACGUGAUCACAAAAGAGGAUUUGGGGCUGAUGGUCGGUUAUUCAUCACGUUCGCGUGGAAGCGAACACGUUUUCGAAGGUCAAGGCGCGGAAGCAUCAUGUUCGCGAAUGGUAUGUCGCGUUCGCGUAAGGUAAAAUUUCUUCAGUGUAAUUUUGUGCUACGCGUUCGCGAGUGUUGGACAGCGUUCGCAUAGAAGGAAUUCCUGUAGCUGGGCAGAAUGUUUGAAAACAUUUCAUCCGUGAUUUUGGGGGACAUUUACCCCAUUGUUGAUCUUUUUUACAGCUUUUUGAAGGAAAUUGAAGAGGGAUCAAGGAGAAUCGAUUGGAGGUAAUAAUUUUGAACUCAAAGCUCAUUCUAAUUCUGUAAUCCAUCAAGAAAUUCAUGGAAAUUAAGCCUAAAAUCGAUGAACUAGGGCUUGAGAUUUUGAGAUUUUAAAUUGGGAUUUGAUGGGUCAUUUGAGCUCGGAUUUGGGAGUUCUUGGUAUGUAUGAACUCAUGUUAAGAUGAGGAAUCCAUUGAUGGAACUUUUCAAUUUUCGGAGAAGUGGGCCCCGUGCUUGGGUUUUGCUAGUUUCGAGAUUUUUGCUAUUUUUCGAUUGUUUUCGAUUGGGUAUUGUUCCUUCGUGAUGUAUUCGCUCUGAUUUUUGUUAGAUUUGACACGUGUGGAAGCCUAUUGGUGGAGCAAAGGCGUCGCGAGCUAGAGUUUCACCGGUUCGAGUUGAGUAAUGCUAGUAAAUGAUAUCCUGAGGAUUUGAAACCCCAUAUUUGCACAUCGUAGUGCUAUAUUGAGGUGAGACACGCACCCUAUGACGAGUGCGGGGUCAUUGGUUAUUGGGGAUUGUAACUUGGUCCAUCCCGAGAGAUGUUUCUACUGUGUUUUCGACUAGAACUUAUUUUAUAAUUAUCCUACUUGGAUUUAUUUGUUAUAUUAGGGCUUCGUGCCAUUUAUUUGAAUCCUCGGGGAAUUGAUAUCACUAUUUUCACAUAUUUUGCAUAUUAUCUUAUCUCAGUUCAAGGUUUUAAAUACUUUUUUGCAACUCAGCCAUCUUUCUAAGAUUUGAAAACUUAAAUGAUAUUUCUAAAUGAUAUUUGGGGGCUGAGAACUACUGUUUUACAAAUACCCAAGGGGCUUGUGAUGAUUUCUGGACUGAGCAUGGAUCGUGUUGCGCUCCACAACGGUAUUACAGUGAUAUUGAGGUCGAGAUCCUGGUUAAUUAUAUUGACAUUGAGGCUGAGAGCCUGGUUGAUGCCACGAUAUGACUUGAUAAUUGCGUGUGGGUUGUAGGAGCCCCUCCGAAGUCUGUACAUACCCCUAGUGAGCGCCAUCAACGUUAAAUUUAUCAGACUGCACGCCGCAAUGGGUACUAGAGUGUAUCGUCAUAUGCAUUGCAUUGUACGCAUGCCUUUGUUCAUUAUCUGUUGUUGUGAUUUUUCUUGAAAUAUUUAUUUGAUGUUCUGGUAUUAUCUGAUCACUCCUAAAUAGGAUAAAUUUAGACAGUGGUAACAAUGACACUAAAUGAUGUGUUUGGUCAGGUAACAACGACUAACUAGUAAUUACAUUGUGCGGUCAGGUAACAAUGGCUGACCAUGAAGGAGAUUAUGGCCUGAGGGGCGGGGUUAUGUGCAUAGCGGCACUAUUUGUUUGAAAUUAUUCUUGCAACUGUUGAAAAUAUCAUUUUCAAAAGAGGUUUAAAACUGAGUCAAGAUAUUUCCAGAGAUUUCACGGUUUCACUAUUUUCUCAAAGGGCUACAUUGUCCCAUAUAGUAUGAUGGCUUACUUUACGUGAUUUCUUACCGCUCAGUUAUUAUUUAUUUUUAUCACUCACUGAGUUGAAGUACUCACUUUACUCCUUGCACCUUGUAUGCAGAUGCAUGUAUUGUUCACCCGGUAGCGGGACUUGAGCUGAUUUCCUCCUUUGGUUCUAAAUUUUAUUGUGUAUGUUGUUGGCCCUGUAGUUGUAUUUAGACUUCUCUAGAUACUCGUGACUUGUGACACCCCGGUUUGGGCUGUGUAUAGGUUAAACUUCCGCUGAAUAAUAUUAUCAAAUCAUCUUUAAAAUUGUUUAUUCAUGUUUAUCUACUUUUGAAAAAGGCAAAGUUAGGUUGGUUGGCUGGUCUUGUCUUCACGAGAGGCUCCAUCACGACCGGAGCGGGGUUUGGGUCGUGACAAGUUGGUAUUAGAGCCUAUGUUACUAGGUCUGACGAGUCAUUAGCAGGUUUAGUAGAUUCUCGUGGAUCGGUACGGCAACAUCUGUAUUUAUCCUCGAGAGUCUGUAGAACCUUUAGGAAAACUUCACAUUCUUGAAAACUUAUCGCGCGUGCUUGAUUCAGCUUGAAAGAGUAACUCUUGAAAUUCCUUCCACGCAUUUUCAUUUGUGCAUGAGCGCUCAGUAUCAUAUGUGCCUUGGUGGCUUGUGAUUCUCUAAUUGAGGGGCGAGACGUGAUCUAUGUGAGUUGAUGUUGGGCCAGUCUGAAGGACCUGAGGCCAGAUCUUUGCCUAUGGCCUAAGCACCGAGGUGCUGAUUGAGUAAGAAAGUGUUUUGAACUUAUGUAUUCAGUAUUGUCCCUAAUAGUGGGAAUGAUGGCUGGAUAGCUUAUGAUGAGUAUGUUAGUACUGCCUGAUGUUUCUAUAUGACUUGGUAGUGUCAAGAAAGAUCUGUUGGGUGAGAGGUCGACUAUUAAGUGUAUGGUUUCCAUUGUGAUUGGAGGUGUAGCACCAAGCUAUGGGCGUAUGAAUAAUCUUUUCAGGUCUCCUAGUUGGGGGUGAGGUAGAUUUCACGUUUCGGUAUGAGUUCAGACUCAGGAAGACUAAGUGACUAUGUAAUGUGCUAUAUUGAGGCGGAGCAGGUGGGUUAUCUCCUGCGGAGUGUUCUGAAGUUGCGUGAUUCUUAUGUGUAUGUUGGAAGAUCUUAUGUGUAUUUGAAUAGUGCGUGCUAAAUUUGAAUGUUCGGAUGCUUACGAGAGUGGAUUUAACUGUUGAGGGGAUUAAUGCAGGAUUUGAAGAAGGUUUACAUUACUAGACGAUAUGAGUUUCGCAAACUUAUGAAUGAUGGGAGUUCCAUCUUGCCAUGGUAUUGUGGCAUCAAUAGAGUAAAAGUGUUAUGAUUUAUUGAGUGUAUCGAUAUAUGUCUUUGAGCUAAGUUCGGGAGUUUGCUAUUGAUUAGCUAAUCGUACGGUUAUGUGUUAUGUUGGUUCCAGCUUGAGGCUUCAAGCGAAUUAGCUAUGGUUAGAGUAAAGGAAAAUUUUGACCUGGGAUGCAUUAUGCUUCAUAAGGUAUGAGAAUUUUCGAAUAUCUAGAGUUGUUGUUGGUAAAGAAUGUUUGGUUCUUUGAGCGGGAAGUUUCUUGGUUGUAAUGGGAUGAGGAUUCUAUUCUGCGGUAUCGGAGUGCCAGUGAGACACGGGUGGUUCUAUUUUUGUUGGGUCAGGUAAAUUGUAGUGAAUAAGAGAAAUGACUUGCGAAGAUGGUUCUAGUGUGUUCAAGAUUCUACAUGUAGCAAUGGGGUAUCUUAAAGUGGCAUAUAUGAUUAGGAAUCGAGUUUCAUUGGAAGAAGUCCAAACUUGUGGUAUUUCCAUGUUAAUUGUGGGAUUCGAAGUAUCAAUGUCAGGAAAGUAAAGGUAACAGAUUUAGAUUCGCAAGAAGUUCUUCAGAGUAAAGUAAUUGGGAAUGUGGUAAUUCUUGGAAUAAUUGAGAGAGUAUUCAGCGACUUAUGGGACUUAGAAAGUGUGGUUUUGCGCUUGGGUCUCAUUGGAUAAGCCUGGGUCGAUUAGUUGCGGUGCUAUAGCAAGAAGAGAUAUCAAUUGAAAAUGAACCAGAAGGAAAUUUAGAAAGAUGGUGCAGCUUGAUAGUAGACUGGAUCGGCAUGGUAAGCAUAUGAUCAAUUCCUUGUAUGUGUUAGAGGUAAUGAGUUCGUACAAGUGUUUUGCAGCAAUGCACUUGGGCUUCGACGACUUGCUUAGCUUGGUAUAGUUUGAAGGAUUCAGUACUGGAAGUUUUGUUGGUGCAACGGAACGGGAAGAGUUGUUGUUGGGUUUUAUCGUGGUUUGGAGAUGUAUGUUUUCUAUGGCCUUUAUUCUAGAUGAGAUCAAUGGAAAACUCUUGACUAGUUGAGUGCAUAGAUGUCUGUGGCUAGGAGGGGAAGUAAGGUUUUCAUGUAUCCUCGAAUGGUAUGUUAUACGCGUUAUGUUGAGGAAGACCGAGACUUGCGUGUGUUAGAUUACAGUUUAAUUCAAAAAGGAAGCUCACAAAAUGCUUAGGCGGUGGGUAGUCUCAGAUAAUCAAGGAAAAUGGUACUGCUAUUCAGGAGUGAUUUGGCUAGAGUAUGUGUUUCAAAAAAAGGGCAAUGUGAUUAAAUGGAUGGAACUUCGAUGGUAUUACGGACUUUCUUGUUAGAUCGAUUUGUGAUCUUCAGGUUGUCUUGGUGGCACAGGGAAAAUUUUGGAGUAUCUAUCAUAGAAUUAUUGGAUAUUAUGGUGUUGUAUGCUUUCAGACUGUGUAAUUGAUUUGGUACUAUGAUUUGUGUGCUAUAUGGGUUUGGAGAUGGAAGUUCUCAAAUUUAGGCUAUGUUGUGAUUGUGGAUCGUGUGUAUCGGCACCGCGUAAAGGAUUUCGAGAUUAGGAGGCCCAAGUGAACCUUUCUUUGUCUGGUAUAUCAGAUUUUGGAUAUGAUAUCGGGGUUUAGACUGUGCUUCUCAAUAUUGGGUUAUUUUGGAUUGUUGUGCUAUGGGCUAUGCCAGAAAUGCCACAGGGUGAGUGGCGAGGUGCGUCGGUGUAUGUUCUAGUAGAGUGGUUUCUAUUUCGAAGAACCUAUUGAUGACUGGGAAGGGUUGCUUUUCUUAUUUGGGCCUUCGUGAUGGGUGUCAGUGUAGAGGUUGCUAUCAAUGAUUCAGUUCUAGUGUUUAGGGACUUUUUGAAUGUGUUUCUGGCCGGGCAUAUCGUCGGUCAAAGUUGUGGAUUUCGGUAUUAAUUUGGUGCCGGGCACCGUAUCGUACGACUCCGGCAAGAGUUAUGGUAUUAGAAGGAGCAGCUUCAGGUUUUCUUGGUAAUGAGUUUGUUAGUAGGCCGAUCUUGAUGCAUUUUUAUCUUGAGUUGUCUUGGUCGGCCCCAAAUGAUGUUGUUGAGGGAUAGGUUGAUUCGAUCGUUAUUGAGCUUGUUAGUGAUCUAAGGAGUGCUAUGAGUUGCUUUUCAGUGUUGUGAGACGUUAUGAUUUGUUGGUUAUGGGCACGUAUGGUGCGGUUCUAUUGGGGAUUCAUAGUGAAAGUCAAGUGGGAAGAGUAAUUGGGUGUUGCUCGAUAAAUGGAGUAUUGGUUAUGACUUAUCGGGUUGCAUGGGUAUGUUAUUUGUUUCAUUAUGGGUGUAAUGAAUUGCUUUAGUUUCGGACAUCAAAUUAUGCGUGACUGUUGAUUUUCAGCAUAGAGACUUGUUUCAUGUGUAAAGGUGUUUGGAUAGGAUCGCCCAUUGUAGCGAGGCCACGUGGAGAUAUGAACUUUUGGGGUAGACUCAUGUGUUCUAAUUCUAUGAUGUGAGACAGGGUCUUAGCCUUGUGUUGUGAUGGUACUUAUGAGCUUGGGGUACAGCUCUUUCGUUUGAGUCAAUUUUCAUGAUUUGAGUAUGUACAGACCGUUUCUUUUUGGUGCACGUAUUAUGCAAGUUGUAGCUUAGGCAUAUAUUGAGGCGUCAUAUCACCAGAGUGGUGUGUUGGAUUCGAGGUGAUCAUUGGGGUCACUAAUAAAUACGAAUGAAUUUGAUUCCAGCUUGUUGGAAGGAUAAUAUCGAGGUUCGGCUCGAAAUCUGUUGUGGUAUUAGUCAAAAGGGAAAUGGCUUCAUGAAUGGUUGAUCUAAGAAAUAGUUACAGUUUAUUGCGUGUUUCAUUUAUCGUUGGAAGUAUAUGAAAAUGUUAGAAUAAGACCUUGGUUGAUAAGAGGUUUUCUACCGGUAUUCGGGUGUUGUAGGCAACUGCUAUGAAUAGAUGUUAUCUUCGAGUGUUUGGGUUAUGUAGUAUAUCAUAUGAUUGAGGGUUAUUACAGCUAGUUUGGGCUUAUUCUGAGUGUAGAUGUGAGGUUCUGAUCUUGUGUAUGAUUUCGGAAAGCAUAAUGUGGUUCUAUGGUUUAUGGACUAGAUGGAUUGUGUAAUUUUAGCUAUAUUGUGUUAUCGGACCUAUGCAAGAUACGGUCACGUGGGAUCACCCCCGGAUAUAUGCUUGGUAAGGUCAUUCAUCUAUUGGUUGGUUUCUAGGACAACUCUGGAUACGCUCGAGGAUGAGCGUUCAUUUAAGUUGGGGAGGAUGUGACGACCUGACCCGUUCUCUCAUGUAUUUCUGUCCCGUUUCCCCUUCAUGUCUCAUUAUCGGUAUUUGGUGUGUUAGAGUUAAUUCGGAUUGGUUUUGAAAGGAAAUAAGACACUUAGUAUCUGUAAUGAAGGUUUGGUUGGGAAAAGUCAAUCGGACGUCGACUUAUGAGUUAGAAGGCUCGGAUGUGACUUCCGGUGUUUCGGUUAGCUUCGGGGGAUGAUUUGUGACUUAGUAUUUUGAGCGGAAGUGAUUUUGGAGGUCCGGCGUAAAGGGCUUGAAUUGGCAAAAAUAGCAUUUUAGCAAUAUCCAGUUCAACAACAACAACUACUACUACCCAGUAUAGUCCCACAAAGUGGGGUCUGGGAAGGGUAAUAUGUAGACGCGCCUUACCCCUACCCGAAAGGGCAGAGAGGCUGCUUCCAGUCGACCCUCGACUCAGUGAAGGAAAGGAAAAACAAAUACAAAAACAAAAGAACAUUAGUAACUCCAGCAGAAAUAGCGUAAAUAAUUAUCUAAACAUAAGAAUCAAAAAUCAAAUAGCAUGCAAUAAUAUCACACAGUAACUACCAUAAAUAACUAUAAUAAGUAAGACACAGUCCAAUACACAAAUCAUCUAUGGAUAGCCCUGCAAAGCCUCACCCAACCCCGGGUGAGGGGUACGAAAAACUCUAGGAGCCCUUAUCCUACAACCCUGAUGCUAGACCUCCAGACUUUCCUAUCAAGGGUCAUGUCCUCGGAAACCNNNNNNNNNNNNNNNNNNNNNNNNNNNNNNNNNNNNNNNNNNNNNNNNNNNNNNNNNNNNNNNNNNNNNNNNNNNNNNNNNNNNNNNNNNNNNNNNNNNNNNNNNNNNNNNNNNNNNNNNNNNNNNNNNNNNNNNNNNNNNNNNNNNNNNNNNNNNNNNNNNNNNNNNNNNNNNNNNNNNNNNNNNNNNNNNNNNNNNNNNNNNNNNNNNNNNNNNNNNNNNNNNCUCGCAUCUUCUCGUCCACCGGGGCCACCCCCACCUUCUCUCGAAUAACUUCAUUCUUAAUCUUAUCUAACCUGGUGCGCCCGCACAUCCACCUGAGCAUCCUCAUCUCCGCAACCUUCUCUGAACAUGAGAGUUCUUCACUGGACAGCACUCCGCCCCAUACAACAUGGCAAGUCUAACCACAACUCUAUAAAAUUUCCGCUUGAGUUUUUGUGGAACUUUCUUGUCACACAGGACUCCUGAUGCAAGUCUCCAUUUUGACCACCCCGCUCCUCCUCUAACCUCUCAAUAACACCGACCCUCGUCUCCUCUAUCAUGACUAUGUCAUCAGCAAAUAGCAUACACCAAGGCACAUCCCCUUCAUAGAUGAAGUUUUUGAUCCAAGGGUCGGAAUGGAAUUUCGAGAGUUUCAAUAACUUUGUUAUGUGAUUUGGGAUGUUUGUGCAAAAUUUCAUGUCAUUCAGAAGUGAUUUGGUUGGGUUUUUGAUCAAAUGCAUGUUUCGAAAGUUUUUUGGAGAACUUAUGCUUGAAUUCGAUGUGAAUUGAUGAUUUUGAUGUUGUUUGAGGUGUUUUGUUGAUUGUAACGAGUUUAAAUGAUGUUUUAGGAUGUGUUGGUACUUUUGGUUGAGGUUCCGGGGGCCUCAGGUGAGUACCGGGUGGUCAAUCAGACCAUUUUUGUGUUUGAGAGAUUGCAGAAAAAUCAGCUGAAGUGUUGCAGAUAUUUUGGCCUCCACAUUCGCGAAAAAGAGUUCGUGUUCGCGGAGGGAUGAGUAUUGUAAGCCUCGCAUUCGCCAGGUUCAAUGCCGCAUUUGCAAAGUCUUGUGAGGGACUUCAUCGCGAUCACGGGUGUGUGUACGCUAUUGCGGAAGAGGACUUGGGGCUGAUGGCCGGUUAUUCAUCACGUUCGCGUGGAAGCGAACUUGUUCGCGUGAAAGUGAACGCUUUCGCGAAGGUCAAGGCUGUGAAGCAUCGUGUUCGCUACUGGUAUGUUGCAUUCGCAUAAGGUAAAAUUUGGUCAGUGUAAUUUUAUGCUACGCGUUCGCGAGUGUUGGACUGCGUUCGCAAAGAAGGAAUUCCUGUAGCUGGGCAGAAUGUUUUAAACAUUUCAUCUGCGAUUUUGGGGUUCAUUUACCCCAUUGUUGAUCUUUUUGUGAGCUUUUUGAAGGAAAUUGAAGAGGGAUUCAAGGAGAAUCAAUUGGAGGUUAAAAUUUUGAACUCAAGACUUGUUCUUAUUGUGUAAUCCAUCUAGAAAUUCAUGGAAAUUAAGCCUAAAGUUGAUGAACUAGGGCUUAGGAUUUUGAGAUUUUAAAUUGGGAUUCGAUGGGUCAUUUGAGCUCAGAUUUGGGAGUUCUUGGUAUGUAUGAACUCGUGGCGAGAUAAGGAAUCCGUUGAUCAGAAUUUUUUAAUUUUUUGGAAGUGGUCUUGGGGCUCGGGUUUUGUUAGUUUCAAGAUUUUUGCUAUUUUUCGGUUGUUUUCGAUUGGAUAUUGUUCCCUUGUGAUGUAUUCGUUCUGAUUUUGGUUAGAUUCGACUUGCGUGGUGGCAGAUUUAAGGGGCAAAGGUGGUAUGAGCUAGAGUUUUACCGGUUCAAGGAGAGUAAUGCUUGUAAAUAAUAUCAUGAGGGUUUGAAACCCCGGAUUUGCACAUCGUAGUGCUAUAUUGAGGUGAGACACGCACCCUAUGACAAGUGCGGGCUUGUUGGUUAUUGGGGAUUGUGGCUUGGUCCGUCUCGAGAGAUGUUUCUACUGUGUUUUUGACUACAUCUUAUUUGAUAAUCAACCUACUUGGAUUUAUUUGAUGUAUUUGGGCUUCGUGCCGAUUAUUUGAAUCCUCCAGGGACUGAUAUCACUGUUUUCGCAUAUUUUGCAUACUAUUUGAUCUAAGUUCAUGGUUUUAAAUACUGUUUUGAAACUUAGUCAUCUUUCUAAGUUUUGAAAACUUAAAUAGUAUUUCUAACUGAAAUUUGGGGGCUGAGAACUACUAUUUUACAAAUUCCCAAGGGGAUUGUGAUGAUUUCAGGAUUAAGCAUGGAUGGGGCCACGCACCGCAGCGGUAUUACAGUGAUAUUGAGGCAGAGAGCCUGGUUAAUUAUAUUAAUAUUGAGGCCGAGAGCCUAGUUGAUGCCACGAGAGGGCUUGAUAAUUGUGUUUGGGCUGUAGGAGCCGCUCUGAAUUCUGUACAUACCUCCAGUGAGCGCCGUCUAUGUUAAAUGGAUCGGGUUGUAUGCCGCAGCAGGUAACAGAGUGUACCGUCAUAUGCAUUACAUUGUACCUCAUGCCUUUGUUCAUUAUUUGUUGUUUUGCUUUUCUUGAAAUAUUUAUCUGUUGUUUGGUAUUAUCUGAUCACUCCUAAAGAGGAUAAUUUAGACAGUGGUAACAAUGACACUGAAUGAUACGUUUGGUUAGGUAACAACGACUGAUCAGUAAUAACAUCGUGCGGUCAGGUAACAAUGGCUGACCAUGAACGAGAUUAUGGACCGUGGGGCGGGGUUCUGUGCAUAACGGCACUAUUUGUUUGAAAUUAUUCUUGCAACUGUUGAAAAAAUCAUUUUCAAAAGAGGUUUAAAACUGAGCCAAGAUAUUUCCAAAGAUUUCACAGAUUCAUUGCUUUCUCAAAGGGUUACAUUGUCCCAUAUAGCAUGAUGGCUUACUUUACGUGAUUUCUUAUAGCUCAGUUAUUAUUUAUUUUUAUUACUCACUGAGUUGGAGCACUCACUUUACUCCCUGCACCUUGCGCGCAUAUGCAGGUAUUGUUCACCCGGUAGCGGGUUUUGAGCUGAUUGAGGGCAUUACUAUUGUAGUUGAGCAGAGUGACCGCUAGCAUUCGCGGCAACAAAUUUUCUCCUUUGGUUCUAAAUUUUAUUCUGUAUGUUGUUGGCAUGUAGUUGUAUUUAGACUUCUCUAGAUGCUCGUGACUUGUGACGCCCGAUUUGGGCUGUGUAUAGGUUGAACUUCCGCUAAAUAAUGUUAUUAAAUCAUCUUUAAAAUUGUUUAUUCAUGUUUAUCUACUUUUGAAAAAGGCAAAUUAAGGUUGGUUGGCUGGCCUUAUCUUCACGAGAGAUGCCAUCACGACUGGAGCGGGAUUUGGGCCGUGACAUAAAUAAUUGACUUUUAGGGCCAAUCAAUAUAGAUUAAUCCUUAAGGAUGUAAAAGUAAAAUUUAAUUUAUCCCCUUGACAGUUAAGCAUUUGAAAAACUAUGUUCCCUUUGUCUUUUGAAUGUGAAACAACAACCUCCUUGUACUUAAACCUCAAAGGGAUAAAAAAAAAAUUGCCAGCAGUAAAAAUAAAAAGUUACUCUUUUUGGAGGGAAUAUUUUUGGCGUAAAAUUUUAUUUGCAUAAGUUUUUUGGUACUUAUAUUAAUUUAAUGGAAGGAACUGAAAAAUAUUCCAAUAUAUUCAUAGUUUCUAAGGUGGUGCCUUAUAGAAUGGUCUAAAACUCUAAAGCCAUUAGGGACAGGCACAUUCUACUGACAACAUGAUUUUAUAUGUUUGAAGCUUGAAGUACAAUGGAAUUUGCGGUAAGAAAUGUCAUUUUAUUCCUUUGGAAUUAAUAGCGGAGCUACAAUUUAUAUCUAGGUGAUUCAAAAUACAAAUAAGUGAAUAUAAAAGAAUAUUUUUGAUCUAAUAUAUAUAAUAUAAUUUUUUAAUUAAAAAAAAUCAAACGAAUAAUAUACCGUCACUCUAGCUCCGCCCAUGUCUAGAAACAAAGACAAAUGCCCUUGUACGGGAACAAGAAGAACUCUAAGGGGGAGAUGAGAGACCCUUAAAAUUUACUUCUAUCUUUUGAUUGCAAGGGGUUGUCUUUCUGUUAAAAAAAAGUGAAUGGGGUAUAGUUUUCUACGAAAUUUAUAUUUUGUGUCUCAUAUAAUUGACGCUAGUUGUGUGAGCGCUCUUUUUUGUCUCACAAUUUUGUGGUCCUAAAAUUUUAUGAAUUUAAAUAUGUAAGAUAUUUAUCCCAAUAUGUGCGAGAUAAAAAAGACCUCACACAACUAAUGUCAAAUAAUAUUAACUCAUUUUCUCCCCUUUAAACGUUGAGGCUAAAAUCACAUUUUAUAUAUAUAUAUAUAUGUAUAUAUAUAUAUAUGUAUAUAUAUAUAUAUAUAUAUGUAUAUAUAUAAUUAUAAAAGCAUGAAUACAAAGUCGGUUUACAGAAUAAACUUAUAACAUUAAGCAUAAUAAAAGGACAUAACUGAAAUUCUAGAUAUUAGCCUUAUAAUCCUAUUAAUUUUAGGACAUAAUAUUACAUGAAUCCUAUUAGUAUAAUUAUACUAAUAGUAUGUAUUCUAUUAGCAUUCCUUUUGUUAACUAAUAAUUUUAGCAUGUAUCCUUCCUAUUAGCAUUCCUUUUAUUACCUAAUAGCACGUUAUUAUGUUUCUUUUUAAUAUAAACUUUCAACGUAGAGAUAUUUUUAAUCAUAUAAUCCUAUUAAUUUUAAGAUAUACUUCUUAAAAUUUUCUAUUUGUAAUUCAAUUUGAAAAAAUUUUAUGAUGUUACUAAUUGAAUUUGAGAAUGUAUUAUAUCAUGCAAUCUAUUUAGAAAAAGAAGAGUCUAUAUCUAUAUCUAUAUCUAUAUUAUUAUAAAAGUACAAAUAAUUUAUGCUAAAUAUUUAACGAUUAAGAUAUCCUUAAAAUAUUGAUUGAAUUUUGUGCCCUUAAAUAUUUAUAUAAUUUAAGCAUAUAAUUAUAAAUCACCUACUGCAAGAAUUUUUUUCCGAUUUAAAUUAUACAUACGCCAAGCAAAAAGGGAAAACGUGGGAAGGUGAAUUACUCCUAUCCAAAUUAAUUUUGGAUUCAUCCUCCAGCACCAAUUCGUUGCUACCCCAUCUCACUUAUUAUACAAUAAUAAACUGGUUAAAAAUCAAUAAUUAAAAAUACGAAAAAAUAGAUAAGUGCCAAGCGGCAAUAUCCACUUUACAUAGUUUAUUACUUAUUCUUUUUUUUUUCCUAAGAUAAUGAAGUAAAUAACAUUAAUAGGUUAGAAUGUUAUGAUAAAAUAUAAUUCAAAUAAAGAGAGAUUGUCUUCAAAAUUUUCGUUAAUAUCAAACUUCUAAUCAUUUAAUUCGCUAGAAUUUUAUUAUAAUACUAAUAUGAAUCGAGAGAGAUUUGGUCUUUAAAGUUUUAGUUAAUGUCAAGGUUUUAAAUAUUAAAAAUAUAAUUAAAUGACUCAAAUGAAAGCGUAAAUUCUUUUGAACUUUCGACGAAUGGUCUUUAAAGUUUUAGUUAAUGUCAAAGUUUUAUAUAUUAAAAAUAUGAUUAAAUGACUCAAAUGAAAGCGUAAAUUCUUUUGAACUUUUAAUGAACAUGAUUAAAAAAACAUAAGUAUUGCAUAUGAAGGUAAAGUUUUGGUACAUAUUUUAAAACUCAAGAUUUUGUAUCCAAUUUAAUACUUACGCCGUCUUUGAAUUUUGUCGUGCGUUUAUCGAUUUAUUUCAAUUCUUUUAAAAUCUUUAAUUAUUGACCAAUUGCAUUUAUUGUUAUCGAGUUUAUCUAUUAGUUCAAAUAAUAAAAUAAUUAGGUAAAAUUCAAUUGAUUUUAAGGUCUUAAACAUUAAGACUUCAUAUAUUGUAUUCCAAAUGAAGAAAGAUUUGAUAGGCGAAAUGUUACUUGAUUUCAAAUUCCUAAAUUAAGUAUAUAAUUUAAUACUAUUUUAGCCAAAGUGAACUUAAUUACAAAGGCAAAUAAAAUUUCGCUAAGGGAUUUCGUACUUUUAAUAUAAAUAUAGCUUUAUAAAAAUGGCUCAUGUGUUUUGAUCCAGUGAAUAAAGGUAAUACAUAUAAAUCAUUUACGGUUAAAUUAAUUUUAUGUUUUUCUUAGUAUUUCGAAUUGCAGCCAUUAACUUUCUUUUUGGUCAGUCUUUUUCUAGAUUAUGUAUUCCACAAGUUUCAUGUUGAUAAAUCAAUGGAGUAUCUGGUGGCUACUUUUGCUUACCAUUGAAACGACUCGAUAUUCCAAUGUAUUCAAAUUGUAUUUUAAAUCUAAUAGUGUAAAUUCUUUUUACACUAUAGUUUAAUAUUGUAUAGCAGGAUAUUGUAUAUUUUAUGGGUUAAAAGCUUAUUAUUUGUGCUUAACUUUUGAACGGCCUAAUAUUAUCAAGAAAAGUCUCAUUGAUUGUUUAUUAUUGUUAGAUUCAAAUAUAAUACAUUUCAGAUUACCAGCUUAAUUUAGUUUACAGAAGACGAAUUAAUCGAUAUAUGUAUAUGGUGUAUUUGAGAAAAUAAUGAUAGAUUUUAAAAGGUAAAUUUUUUAAAUAUAAUUAUUUGUUGAUAAAAUUAUCAUAUUUAGAACUUUUUCUAAUAUUGAAAACUUUGAAAUCAAUUCGUAUUUUAUAUUUGAAACUUUUGAGUAACUUUUAACUAUGGGUAGAUUGUCGUAUUUUAUCUGCUCUAGAAAAUAUUUGGCUAAAGAAUCCUUAAAUGAAAGGGGAAAACGCCUCAAUUAGAAAAGUGAUGGUCUGCAUUUUACCAUAAAUUUACAAUAAAACCAAAAAAUUCACGUCCUAAUAUCAUGAUAGUUUUUUUGUAAAUCAUUAUUUUAAGUCACGUCGUAAAAUAAAUAUUAGGACAUAUAUAAAGAAUAAAAAUCAAAGUAACAAACAUCCUCAAACUGUCUAUUAAGAUUCAAGUUAUGUUGGUUAAUUAUUUUAUCGUUCUCUUUUUAGUUAUAAGACCCCACGUGCGAGGCACGUGAAAUAGAGACUAUAUAUAUAUGUGUGUGUGUGUGUGCAUAUGUGUGUGUGUGUAUAUAUAUAUAUACACAGACCUUGCAAUGAUUGUGAAGAGUAACUUCGAGUGCAGUCAGUGAUUCAUACCCCUCUGUAAGAAUUUAGAAAGUUACAAUAUGAUUUAUGUAUAUAAUGUAUUUAAUUUUAAUAGAAUGGUAUAAACUAGAAACAAAAAUAAAAGAAAAAAGCUUAAAUUAGUAAGGGAUAAUUUAAAAAAUAUAAAUUUACGGUGAGAAUAGUUUUAUUUUGAAUAAAUUAAUUUUUACUUAUGUUUCUGCUUUUUGGAAGAAGUUAGAAUUUUCUGCUUCUUUCCAAAAGCAGAAAAACUAUUUUUGAUGCUGGCCAAAAGUACUUCUCUAUAUUAGCCAAACAACUUAAAUUUUUUAAAAAGUACUUUUUUAGAGAUAAAAAAAAGUACUUUUGGCCUCCCAGAAGCUUGACCAAAUAGGCUCUAAAUCAGAGUUCACACUCGCUAUUGCUAUUAGGGUCUACGUGGAAAGUCAUCGGUAAUUGGAAUUAGUAAAUUUAUUAGGGUAGUAAUUAUACAAUCUAGUAAUUAUAUAGUAUUGUAAUCAUAAUGAUAUGUUUGCUUAUCAUAAUAUAAUUAUACUGUAAUUAUAAGUGUACUGUUUGGUUGUACAUGUAUAAAUUUUAAAUAUAAAAUUAAUUAUCAAAAAUUAAAAGUUAAGAUUUAACAAAUAUUAACCUUUAUAAAUAAUAUUCAAUUUUACAUUUAAGAUCGAUAUUAUUUAUUGAAAAUAUAUAAUUAAUAAUCAUAUGUUUGUAACUAAUAUUGUAAAAAUAAUUAAUAUAUUUUUAAAAUUAAUAAUAUUGCUUUAAUAAAUUAUAAGGACACUACAUGCUUGAUAAAAUGAUUAAUAUUUAUAAAUAUAACACCAUAAUAUUACUCAAGUAUUUUACGAAAAAAUAAUUUAUCAACUUUAACUGAAAAAUAAGUGGCAUGCAAUCUGAAUUGAAUACUACUAAAGCAAAUAUUGGAAUCGAAAAUAAAAAAUGUACACUGCAUGGAAUCAUAAAGGUUAAAAAAAUAUUCUUUAAAUAUUAAAAAGUAAACUAUUAUUUUAACAUAGUUAAGUUUGCACAUAACCUCAUCCAAUAAUAAAGUUCAACUUCAAUGACAUCACUCAUUGUAAGUCAAGCUUGUGGAUGACUUAAUCUUUCUAAGAUUACAUGGUAUAACUUUUCAGAAAAAGUAGAAUAAUACAUAGUUAAAUGUAAUAAGAAAAAUAAAGAAAAAUAAUUAAGAAAGAACAAAAUAUGGGAAAUUAUAUAGAAACACGAGAAGUAAAGGUUGGAAAUAAGAAAAUAAAUAAUGUGAAAACUAAUAUUUGAAAUAAAAAAGAAUUUAAUUUAAAAAUUAAAAGAAAAAAACACAAAUAAAAAGUAACUUAAAAAGAAAAGAAAAGAUAUUCAAAAAAUAACUUUGUAAUUACAUCAUGUAAUUAUCAGUAAAUUUCAGCUCCCUCUUGAAAAUUCUAGAGUGCAAUUACACCCAAUUACAUGCUGACUAGGUAAUUACUUAGUUGACAAACAUGUCAAAAUUGUGUAACCCAAUUACACUCAAAUUCAAUUAAAGGGUGACUUCCCAAACAUGCUAUUAAAAUUAGAGUCGUGUGAUUAAAAAUGAAGGGAUACUUACUUUUAUAGUCAGAGACAUUUUACAUCUGUUUUAUAUGUUUUCUCCAUAAGUAAAACAAAUAUAUUUAUACAAUUUAGAUGGCCAAAUUAAUUUUCACUAUGAUUUGUAAAGUUUUUAUAUUUUUAACUUUAGUUUUCUUCAGGUUAUGGUACUUUUUACUUGGUCGAUAUUAUUAUAAAUUUAUAAAGAAAUACUGAAUAACUUAAGUCACUGAAAUUUAUAUUUUGACCCAUGCCGAGCACAUUGUGCUAACUAUUUCACUUGAUAAAUAACAAAUAUAAUUUAAACUCAUAAAUACUUUUCCCAUUUUACUAUUUAUUGUUUAUCUUUAUAACAAAAAAAAAGGAAAGAUUGUAGAGUUCACUAUAGAUGAGACUUGAGUUUUUUCCAAUGAAUUUUUCCUUUGUUGCACAAGGAUUUUAUCGUAAAAGUGUUUCAUUUAGCUUAUACGGCAAAAUUCGACACUAGUAAUCUCACUUUCAACUCUCAACAAAAAGGUCUACUUUUACCCAGAAGGUAACUAAUCACUUGACUCAACAUGCAUUCAAAUUAUUGUAAACACAAAGUUACGUAUACAUUUCUCAUCAAAAAGUAAACAAAAACAAAUGCCCCUUCACAAUCAAUAUUGCAUCACUAGAUAUAGGUUUCUUUCCCUGCCAUAGGAUUGUUGCAGCUUCCCUCAAGCCACAGGCAUGACCUGCAUUUCACUGGUUCUUGUUCAAGCUAUGACGUCCACAUAUGGAAACUCAAAACACUAUCGACUAAGGUACUCGUCUAGAGUCCCCUAAUUUUCAUCAUCAUCGUCGUGUAACAUUAUUAACGAAGGUUUGUUUCUGAGACUCGCAUGUCUGAAACACUCUCAAAACUUGAAUUUGACCUCAUACUAUACUCUGCCACGAGCUUAGCAAACAAUGAGGAUUCAUUCUCUAACAACCUGGCUGGAGUGUCGUAUUCAGCAAUGAGGCCUGCAGCAUAGCAUAAAAAAAAGGUAAAUACCAAGAAUUUCCUUCUCCGCUUGCUCCAGAACAUAAACAAUGAUUCUUACCAUGAUCUAAUAGUAGGACCAUAUCACUGUCAAGCACAGAUGUAAUCCUAUGAGCAAUGGUUAUAACCGUGGAAUCAGAGAAGUGCAGCCUUAGAGUUUGCUGAAUAAGAUUAUCAGUUGCAGUGUCGACAGAUGCUGUAGCCUCGUCAAGGACCAGGACCUUGCUCUUUUUCAGUAGCACACGGCCAAGACAGACCAGCUGCCUUUGGCCUACACUCCAAUUCUCUCCAUUCUCAGAUACUGCAGUGAUACAAAGAAGAUAAUUAUUACAGCUCCAAAAGUGGAAAUCAUCAGAAAAUGAUGUGGUUCUUGAAGUUACCUGUAGAAUAAAGUUUGCCUUCCUUCUUCCUCACUUCUUCUCCUAGCUGACACUUAUCGAGCGCCUGAAACAUAAGAUGAAACAAAGUUUCUCAAUAAAAUAAGUGUUUUCAUUUUCCUAUGUGAAACAAAAUAAAUCUAGAAAUAAGCAAAACCAAGCUGUCACCUCCCAAAUUUGUUCAUCUGAAUACUCUUCAAGCGGGUCUAGGUUGCUGCGAACUGUCCCCUCAAACAUAGUUGGAUCCUGUGGAAUUAUACUCAAUCUAGACCGUAGAUCAUGCAGACCAAUUGAGGAGAUGCUGGUAGCAUCUAUUUUAAUUUGUCCAGCAGCUGGUUCAACUAUGCGGAAGAGGGUCUGUAUUAGAGUAGAUUUACCACUGCCUGUCCUACCGACAAUUCCAGUCUUCUUUCCACCAAAGAACGUGCAUGUAAGGCCUCGCAACACGAGAGGCAUGUGAGGAGCAUAUCGGACCUAUUAAAAGUUUUCAGAUAUAUCAACCCAUACCAACAAAUUAACCUGCAUAAUUAACACCAGAGAAUAACUUAAUUUACCUGAAGAUUGCUAAAAUCAACCUCUCCACAAGAUGGCCAGUUAGGGUCUGGUCUGUUGGAUUUUAUGAUAAGAGGAGGUUCACUUGGAAGAGCAGUAUACUGAAGUAUUCUUUCAACAGAAAUAAUUUUAUUUUCCAUCAUACAAAGAUUCCAAACAACCCGAGCUUGUAUUAUGUUCAGAUUAAGCCCAUAUGUAACAGCUAAGCCAGCAACACCUGUAAAUCAAGAAAUGGAGAAAAUAUGCUAUUAAGAGUUAUUCAACACAAUAAACUUCAAGGAAAGAAAACAUGAAGAUAGAGAACUUACUUGGGUCAAUUGUUCCAACAGGAAGAGAGAUCAAGAAAAUCAAAGAGAAAGCAAAAGUGAUCAGAUAACAUAUCCAAACGCAUACAAAGCCACUCCAUUGCAGCAGCAAUGUGAAACUUAGGCCGAGAAUAAUUGUCUAUCAAUCUCAUACUUGUGUCCUGGAAUCUAGAUUCCUGAUCGAAACUUCUAAUUGUGCUUGAUCCUGAAAUUGUCUCGGCAAAGUGCUGUAUUACUGGAGCUUUGCAUGUCCCAUUUAGCCGUGCCAGUUCUCGUGCUGAUGGUAUGUAAUAUUGCUGCAAUGAAAACAAACUCACCACUUAAAUGUAACUCACGUUUGUGAAUGUCGCUAAAGUUAUGACUCACUUUGUGAAAAAAGCAUAUAGUAGAAUUAUUGUGAAGGCAAAGAACACGAAAAAAGGUGGUCGUAGCAACCUCCAACCAAAUGCAAACUGCAAUGACUGGAAUAAAGACAAUGAAGACCUGCCAUGCAACUUGUGACAUUACUCCAAUAAUCCCUAAAAGCUGUAUUAUUGUGAAGGCAAAGGAUCCAACUUGAAUGGGAACAUUCAGAUCAACUGCACUUUGAUCUGUCGAUGCCUGCUUUCAUACCAAAGUACAUUUGAGUUAAUUCUGAAAUUACUAGUUAAUUUUCACAAAACAUUGAUUAGACAUGUAACAGAAAGAUUGACACAAAUAAGGAAAAAAAUAAGGGGUAAAUAAAGAAAAUGUAAUCAUUCACUUACUCUGUUUAGAAUCCGCCCACUCGGUGUGGCAUCGAAGAAGGACAUUGGAGCACGGAAAAUGCAAAGAUGCAUUUUAUGGAAAAGCAAAGAGGCUGUCUUAUAUCCAGCGGUAACAAGAAGCAUGGUUCUAGCAAGGAUGCAUAAAGCACUUGCAAUUCCUAAAGCAACAUAUACAAUGAUGAGAGUAGAACUCCCAACAGGAGGUGGCUCACUCUUUGAGACGGGAGUUGCCCACGCCAUCCAAUAAUUGCUUCCAAUUUGAAGGAGCUGAAAACCAACUUGUGCCAACAGCAUAAAUGGCACGAGAGCACCUCCAUAUGCAGUUGUUAUAUAUUUCCAGUAAACUGAAAAACCAACACUACCUUUCUCUCUUUCCUCCUCCUGAACAAUUUGUCCCUUUGUUCCAACAAUAUCAUCCACUUUACCAUUUUGGCCCUCUGAAAUAUUUUUAUCCUUCUGCACAUUUGUAUUAUCACCAGUCAUUUCCUCACUCUUUCUCAAUGCUUCUCCCUUAACUGUGUCAAUUGCUGUUAAAGCUUCUUGGUGAGCACCCACAAGUUCCAUGAAGUCACUACCUAAUUUGAGAAUAUCAUUGUAUUUCCCAGCUUCACUUAUCCUUCCAUCUUUCAUGACCUGAAGAGAAAAAUCAUAGUCAAAUGAGUUAAGUUUAUAUAUGAUAUUAAGCAAACAAUAAUUACUGAAAGGAAAGAGUACCAAGAUCAAAUCCGCAGCAGGCAAAAACUCCACUUGAUGUGUAACAUAUAAAACAGUUUUUGAAUUCAAUAGCCCCAUUAUACACUCCUGCAAUUAAAGGAUGGGUCAAUCAAGUGGCUAGGUAAAAUAUACUUAUCAAGCAUGAAAAUAAAGCAUAUAUAUGAAAUGACUUACAUUGAAGAGAUGGGAUCCGGUAUGAGCAUCUACAGCACUGAACGGAUCAUCAAAUAGGUAAACAUCAGCAUCUUGGUAAAGAGCACGAGCAAUCUGUAUUCUCUGCUUCUGUCCACCGCUCAAAUUAAUGCCCCGCUCCCCUAUUUCUGUUUGAUCGCCAAAAGAGAGAAUUUCCAGGUCUUUCUUUAAGGAGCACGCUUCAAGAACUUUAUCAUACUUCUCCCUCUGCAUCUCUUUACCAAAUAAUAUGUUCUCCUCUAUCUUUCCACUCUGUAUCCAGGGCGACUGUGCAACAUAAGCUUUCGUUCCACUGAGUUUAAUAGUCCCUGAUAAUUUGGGCAUCUCUCCUAAAAUGUGACUGUGCAACAUAAGCUUUCAUUCCGCUGAGUUUAAUAGUCCCUGAUAAUUUGGACAUCUCUCCUAAAAUGCUAGACAGUAAGCUUGAUUUUCCUGAACCAACUGUACCACAAAUGGCAACUCUCAUGCCAUUAAGCACUCUAAGAUUUACAUCCUUUAGAAGUGGAGUCGAGGUGGAUGCAUCCCAAGCGAAGUUCCCACCUACAAUCUCAAUUGCUUCAUCAGAACUACCUUUUGGAAGCUUCUCUAUAACAUCAGGCUGCAAGUCAUCAAGAGAAAGGAAAGAUGCAAUACGAUCAAGAGAAACUUUGGUUUGAGCAAUCAUUGAAA
Molecule: long non-coding RNA, 57449 nt
Filed under: Nicotiana benthamiana
Lineage: Eukaryota; Viridiplantae; Streptophyta; Magnoliopsida; Solanales; Solanaceae
Description: long non-coding RNA (NBEN_LNC008838)
Source: RNAcentral